CAAAGGCAUGACCUGGUUUUCUUUCAACUUCUUUUCCCCAGAACUUGAAGCAGUGUCUCUCUCAAACGGUUUCAUAUUCAUAUUCAUUUUCCUAGAGGCAGAAGCUUCAUGCAAUUUCCCAUUGCGAACUGUAGGUGCAUCAGCAGCUUGCAAUUGACUAUCCUUGCCAUCUGACCGCUUUGCAUCGUCUUCAUUUCUUGGAUUGAGCAGAAUUUUACAAGGGCUGGAUUCACGGACCUGAGAAUCGCCAUAUUCUGCUUGAUGUCUUGUUCUUGAAGAGGCACUAGGACACGCAACUGUUGGAACACGUGUGAGAUGCUGCCUUGAAGGAAGAUGAAGUCAAGAUAAUGUCCUGUUUUUGUGUUUUUCAAAUUUGAAUUCAAAUACCAGAUUGUGUGCUAUUUUUUCGUAAUUUCAUUUCAAUAAAUCUCUCAGUGUAGUUGAGAGUUUAAUUUUGAUUAUAAUUCAUGUUUUGUAAGCCUAUAUAUUAGGCAUUUCCAUUUUGAAUAAAAUUAAGCAAAUACAAUUCAUCAAUUCUGCUCAUUAUUGCAAGUCUUCAAUUUCUUCAAAUUUCGCAUUUUCCAGAAUUUAAUCCAAACAGUAACUGUUAUAAACAGUUACUGUUCAGAUCAUCAAAUUUCAACAGUGGUAUCAGAGCUAAAUUCCUACGGGACUGAGGGUGAUUUUACUGAGUGAAACACGAGAGAUUGUGAGUGUAAAACACUUGGGGGGUUGAGAGAAACACUGAGAGUUAACUUCUAAAAAAUCAAUGGCUUCAUCAUCCUCUACACAAUCACACUCUUCGGUUCCAAUUUUUGAUGGUGAGCACUAUCACAUUUGGGCUGUCAAAAUGAGGUUUUUCCUGCGAUCCCAAGGUUUAUGGAACAUUGUGGAGACGGAUGCUGAUCCAUAUCCACUACGUGCAAAUCCAACUUUAGCUCAAAUAAGGGCUCAUGAAGAAGAAAAAUUGAAGAAAGACAAGGCUAUUACAUGUUUGCAUUCUGGAAUUGCAAACCACAUUUUCACCAAGAUUAUGAAUCUUGAGACACCAAAACAGAUUUGGGACAAACUUCAAGUUGAAUUUGAAGGCAGCAAUCGAGUCAAAACAGUCAAACUCCUUGCAUUAAAGAGAGAAUUUGAGCUAAUAAAGAUGAAGGACAAUGAAAAUGUCAAGUCCUAUUCCGGCAGAUUGAUGAAUACUGUCAACCAAAUGAGACUCCUUGGGGAGACAUUUGAAGAUCAUAAGAUAGUGGAGAAGCUUAUGAUGUCAAUUCCAGAAAGAUUUGAGGCUAAAAUCUCUGCAAUAGAAGAGUCUUGUGAUUUGCAAACUCUAUCUAUUGCAGAGUUAAUCAGCAAGCUUCAAAUUCAGGAGCAAAGGGUUCAAAUGAGAGAUGAUGAAGUUGUUGAAGGAGCAUUUCAAGCAAGCUUUAAAGGGAAAAAAUCUGGAAUUUUUCCCAAGAAAAAUUUCAGUAGUGGUAAAUCAAACCUGUCAAAAGGUAAAGCUAUUGUCCCUGCCAGUAGACAUUUUUCUCCUUGUUCUUAUUGUAAGAGAACAAAAAUCACGCAGAGGCUAAUUGCUGUUCAAAGGCCAAAACUCUCAUUCACUGUGAUUUUUGCAAACAAUAGAAAAUGGCCAUGUGAAAAGUUUUGCAGGCUGAAGAAGAAACAGCCGCAGCAAGGAUUUCAGCAGCAAGCAAAUGUAUCUGAAGAAGACAAGGACCCUGAAGAAACUGAGGAGCAGCUAUUCAUGGCCUUGCAGACCAGUACCAUCUCCAAGAAGAACACUUGGCUUAUUGACAGUGGCUGCACCAGCCACAUGACAAAGCAUUUGUCAAUUUUUUCCUCAAUUGAUCGAUCAAUAAAGCCAAAAAUUAAAUUGGGAAAUGGUGACUUUGUGCAAGCUAAAGGAAGAGGCACUGUCACAGUCAGCACUUCAAGAGGUACAAAAACUAUCAAAAAUGUCCUCUUCAUUCCUGAGUUAGAUCAAAAUUUGUUGAGUGUUCCUCAAAUGCUUAGGAAUGGUUAUGAAGUAACCUUUAAGGAUAAUUGCUGCUUCAUUGUUGACACAAAGGAUUCUGCUGUAGCAAAGAUAAAAAUGGAUGGAAAUAGUUUUUAUCUUGAUUUAAAUGUCAUUGAAGGUCAUGCAUUAAGUGCAAAUUCUGAUAUGAGUGUUGUUUGGCACAAGAGGUUUGGGCACUACAAUUUCGAUUCUUUGAAAUUGUUGCAUGACAGAUGCAUGAUAGAGGGGAUGCCUGCCAUUUCUGAAUGUGCACAUUUGUGUGAAGGUUGUGAGUUGGGGAAGCACCAUAGGGUUUCAUUCCCUCGUGCAACACCAAUAGAGCAAAAUCAAGGCUGGAAUUGGUCCAUUCUGACAUUUGUGGACCAAUGAGGACAGCCUCCUUGAACAAUAACUUUUACUUUAUUUUGUUCAUUGAUGACCAUAGCAGAAUGAUUUGGGUCCAGUUUCUGGAAAACAAGUCUCAAGCACUAUCAAAGUUCAAGAGUUUCAAAAGCAUGGUUGAAACACAAAGUGGACAAAGAAUUAAGGUGCUGAGAACCGACAAUGGUGGAGAAUAUACUUCAAGGGAUUUCCAGAAUUUUUGCCUUGAAACUGGAAUUGUGCACCAGUUGACAGUGCCCUAUUCUCCUCAGCAGAAUGGUGUCUCGGAGAGGAAGAAUAGGACAAUCAUGGAAAUGUCAAGGUGCAUGAUGUUUGAGAAGAGGUUGCCUAAGUUUCUAUGGGCAGAGGCAGUAAACACCUCAGUUUACUUGCUAAACAGGCUUCCCACAAAGUCUGUCAAUGGAAAAACACCCAUAGAAGCUUGGUCAGGAAGAAAGCCAACUGCCAACCAUCUAAGGGUGUUUGGUUCUUUGUGUUAUUUUCAUGUGCCCACUGUCAAAAGAGGGAAGCUAGAUGAAACAGCAGUCAAGGGAAUUUUUGUGGGAUAUUCAACUGAAUCCAAAGGUUACAGGAUUUACAACCUGAAUGAGUCCAAAAUUCAGAUCAGUAGAGACGUGCACUUUGAUGAAAUUGCAUGCUGGAAUUGGGACUUGAAGGAGGUGGAUCAGAAGAGCACAAUCCUUGAUGCUGCAGCAGGGGAAACAAGCACUGAAACUGAGUUUGAUGUUGAUGGAACUUCAGAUGCAGAUGUUCUUAAAGUUAGGCCCCUAGCUGAGAUAUAUGAGAGGUGUAACUUGGUGCAUGCCGAGCCAACAAGCUAUGCUGAAGCAGCAAAGGAUGCAGCUUGGAUAGAAGCCAUGAAAUCAGAAAUUGAUUCCAUUGAAAGGAAUCAAACCUGGAGCUUGACAGUGCUGCCUCACAACAAGAAAGAAAUUGGUGUUAAGUGGGUAUUCAGGACUAAAUUCAAUCCUGAUGGUUCUGUAUUUAAACACAAAGCUAGAUUGGUGGUCAAAGGAUUUGCACAAGUGGCUGGGGUUGAUUAUGGGGACACAUUUGCCCCAGUUGCUAGGCAUGAUACAAUUCGGCUCCUUCUUGCAAUUGCUGGUCAACUUGGAUGGAAGGUAUACCAUUUAGAUGUUAAAUCAGCUUUUUUAAAUGGUAUAUUAGUUGAAGACAUAUAUGUGCAGCAACCCGAAGGAUUCAAAGUGGCAGGCCAUGAGCAUAAGGUGUAUAAGCUACACAAAGCUCUUUAUGGCUUGAAACAAGCCCCAAGGGCUUGGUAUAGUAGGAUUGAUUCCUAUUUAAUCCAAUUGGGGUUUAGAAGGAGUGAAAAUGAAGCUACAUUGUACUUAAAGAAAGAAGGAGAUGAAGUGCAGUUAGUAAUUUCACUUUAUGUAGAUGACAUGUUGGUGACUGGAAGCAAUACUUCAUUGCUGGCAAAGUUCAAAAAGGAAAUGGAGGAUGUAUUUGAAAUGAGUGACUUGGGGAUGAUGAAUUAUUUUCUUGGAAUGGAGAUACAACAAGACAACUUAGGGAUUUUUUUGUCACAAAAGAAGUAUGCUAUUGAUGUGCUUAAAAGGUUCAAACUGGAAUCAUGCAAAGAAGUAGCUACACCUUUGGCACAAAAUGAAAGAAUUUCGAAGAAUGAUGGUGAGAAGCUAGAAGAUCCUUCUGUUUUUAGAAGCUUGGUGGGCAGUUUGCUAUACUUGACAGCAACUAGACCAGACUUGAUGUUCCCUGCUGGUUUGCUGUCAAGAUUCAUGAGUUCACCUAGUAGUGUUCACAUGGGAGUGGCUAAAAGAGUACUGAAAUACAUCAAAGGCACAGCUGACUUAGGCCUAAGGUACUCAAAAACAGGAGGAGUAUGCUUGAUUGGCUAUGCAGAUAGUGAUUGGGCUGGAAGUGUUGAUGAUAUGAAGAGUACUUCUGGUUAUGUUUUUAGCAUUGGUUCAGGUGCAAUUUGCUGGAAUGCAAGGAAGCAAGAUGUGGUUGCUCAAUCGACAGCAGAGGCUGAGUACAUCUCCAUGGCAGCUGCUGCAAAUCAGGCUAUAUGGUUGAGCAAAGUUUUGGCAGAUUUGGGUCAUAAGCAAAGCUCACCAACCGAGCUUUAUUGUGACAACAAGUCAGCAAUAGCAAUUGCACAAAAUCCAGUCCAGCAUGGGAGAACAAAGCACAUUAAUGUCAAGUUUCAUGCAUUGAGGGAAGCUGAGAAGAAUUUGUUCAUCAAAAUUCUUCACUGUCCAAUUGAAGUCCAAUUGGCAGAUUUAAUGACUAAAGGACUUCCAAGAUCAAGGCUGGAGAUGCUUAGGAUGAAGCUAGGAAUGUUCAAGGCAAGUCUCAAGGAGGAGUGUUGGAACACGUGUGAGAUGCUGCCUUGAAGGAAGAUGAAGUCAAGAUAAUGUCCUGUUUUUGUGUUUUUCAAAUUUGAAUUCAAAUACCAGAUUGUGUGCUAUUUUUUCGUAAUUUCAUUUCAAUGAAUCUCUCAGUGUAGUUGAGAGUUUAAUUUUGAUUAUAAUUCAUGUUUUGUAAGCCUAUAUAUUAGGCAUUUUCAUUUUGAAUAAAAUUAAGCAAAUACAAUUCAUUAAUUCUGCUCAUUAUUGCAAGUCUUCAAUUUCUUCAAAUUUCGCAUUUUCCAGAAUUUAAUCCAAACAGUAACUGUUAUAAACAGUUACUGUUCAGAUCAUCAAAUUUCAACAGCAACAGCCCAGUGAUUUGACUGGAAACAUCUUAUGCACACACAGGGAAAUUCUUUUGCUCCGUUAAAUGAAUUAGCGUUUCUUAGAAUAUCUACAAGCUCACUAUCUAUUAUCUCUGGACAAUCUCGCACAUGUCAGGUUUCCAUGAGAAGAAUCAUCUGUCCCGUAUGAUGGCAUGAUGUGCUUGAGGGCAUCCAAUCUCCUUGCAAAGACAGAAGCCAUCGCCCCUGAAUUUCUGAAUCUUGAAAAAGGCAAGGUAGAGUUCAUUUUACACAUGGACUUCUCAUCAUGGUGUCCAUUUACUUUAUUUAUGCUAAAUGAAACUUCAGUAUACCGGGUACUCAGUGAAGUGCUCCUCCUCCCUAGCCCCCACAAUUUUUUUUUUUAUCUCGGUAAGAAGAAGGAUGAUUCUGCCACGGAGCCUUCAGCCUUAUGAAAUCGGUAUAAGGCCAUCAAGAGCUUCGCCAGUUCUUCUGUGGCAAAGAUCGCGGUUUGACAAUGGACCAGAAGUUUUUGGAGAAAGCCGAGUUAUCCACAAGCUUGUGAGUGGGUCCCUUUUGUACCCGGAAGUAUUUGUGGCCUUGCCUUCAGAUGGCUGUUCAGCAUCGCUCCUCUUACGUUUACCCGGAGAGGAAUUGGAGCUUGUCCCAUCUUUCUCCUUAUCAGUUGCCAUGUUGCAUGAAUUUUUUUUCUCUGCAGAGUUACUCCCGCUGAUCUCCUGACCAGAAGCAAUAUUGGUGGAUAAAAGUUUGGUCAAGGCUUGUGGAGCUGCACCAUUUCCAGUUGUCGACUCAUUUAACUUCUCAUUUGGUUGAAGAAACCGUUUGUACACAUUGUCAGUCACCAUACGACAGGUUAUUGGAGUACCAGUAGAGUCACAGAUCUUGUUGUAUCGUCUCGAGCAUAAAAAAUGAGAGUGGCAUUCCUACAAGCGACUUCAACUUUCCAAUUUUCUUUCAUGCACCAGUUCUUUUUUGAACAGCCUGAAUGAAUCUAUUCAUGUGGACACGUAUUUCUAACGCUAAACGGCAAUGAUUCUGUUGUGUUUUCAGUUCAUAAUUAUCUGUUAUUAUAUCACGACCACUCUAUUAGAGAAUAAUAUAAAUCAUAUUGAGUUGAGAUGGUUUUUUAACAUGAUAUCAGAGUCUUGAUGACCAAACGAUCACGAGUUCGAAUCUCAAUAUCCCUAUUUAUUUGAUAAAAAUUAAGCACAAAUCAAUGUGGGUCUGUGCAAGUUUAAAGCCCAAAGAGCUUUCACUUUAGGGGGUGUGUUAGAGAAUAAUAUAAAUCAUAUCCUGGGACCUCACCUAAAAGCUUAAGCUAUUGGGUUGAGAUGGUUCUUUGACCCACUGCAGCCAUGAUCAUCCCUGUUGAUAAAUCAUUUUCUGUCAGGAGAUACAUAUAUAUCUGGCGGAUGUUUUCCUCUCUUUAGCAACUAUAUAUAGCGAGUGAUUUGAGCAUUAUAAUGCACGGUGAUUGCUCAUAAUUUUCAUGUGCUUGCGCAUGUUUUUGAUGUAUUUCCAACAGUACUAUAUUAACAAAUUACCUGACAAAAAAAAAAAGAAAAAAGAAGAAGAACAAGUUCUUUAGAUCUUUCCGUUUGUGUAUUGGCAUUCAAGCGACAGUUUCUUGAGCCUUUGUCUUGGGACAAUACAAUGACUGAAAAAGCGAAUGAAAUCCCAUAGUUUUGCACCCUUGAUCUUGAUUUCUGUUACGUGAAAUGAGAUUCUUAUCACGAUCCUCAUGUCCAUGCUUAUGAUUUGCAAGGGUAAGAGCAAGAGAAGGUGCCUCAUCUUCAUUUGAUUUUAAGAACCCCUUCAUCAUGACUAUAUUGCUCUCUCUCUCUUUUUCCAUGCUUGAAGGUGAUCCUUUCUGCUUGCUACGGCCUGUUUGGUGUGGUUUGUUACCCACUUACACCAUCCUUUCUUAUUGGCGUUAGAUAAGUCUCAUUUUGAAUCCCAUAUCCCAUAGGGGAGGGAGGGUUUCACACUUGAUACGAUAAUCUAAUCAUCUAUUUACAUAAAGAAAAGUUCCGGGAAGAAAUCCACGCUCCGGACAAGCACACGGGUACUAAUAGAAGCCCUAAUAACGUGGAACCACAUGAUGAAAGGAGGAAGGUUAUGGAAGCCAUGCUGCAACCAACAUACCUUCUGGCUGGCUUGCUUGAUUUUAGAUGACUGUUUCGAUGUUUAGAAUAAAGGUUUCGAUGAAUAGAAUAAUGGUUUUGAGCUCCGAUUGAACAGCGGGCCUGGAAGGAUCCAUGACGAUGUCUUUCCAAAAAGAGCCCGGCUCGAAAAUGGGGCUUGGGUCUGUGUAAAGCUCGUAGAUGGAUUCUGCCUCAGCCCUCAAAUUGCUUGCAUUUGUCAAGCAUUUGUACCCAUCUUUCCAUGCUAUCAGCUGCAUUCAUUUUGUGCAAAUCAAAAAGUCAGUGUAUAAGAAAAAUGCAGUCCCUACUUGUCUUUUGAAUCGAUACCAGUACGGAAAUCUACAGGCAAGAACUAAGAUAACUGCUGCUAGUUCUGAGCUACGAGGUAUGGAAGGUGGGGCUAAUUUCCGUACAUAAUGCAGCGUGUUCGAGGUCCAUAUCUUGUCGAGGCCUCGAGAUACAGAAUAGUGCAUCCAGUGGACCACAAUCUAGGAUUCCAGGCUCAAACUUACCAGUUUUCUUAGAGCUGACAGAUGGGUGAUGGGUCUAAUUUAUAUCAAUACCUUUCGACACUUGGCAUGUCAAUCGAUAGAUAGUGACUCAAAUAGCAAGGUGGCCGGACUAAAAACAAGGGUGGUUGGCAGACUCUCUUCCCUAAUCGAUGUUGUGUUGUGUUUUAGAGGUUGUCCAUUGGAUUUGAGGCCCUGUGCAUUUGUCACUACGCGAAAGAAGAGAAGAAGCACGGGAUGCAUGGCGGAUAAACCUGAUGGAAGAGACGUACUUACACGAGGCGGUGCUCCGACUGAAUUGGUGCAAUAAAGCCUGGCUUUAUCAACAAGUUGGCAUAUCUUUCAAAUGCGCUGGCAAAUCUCUUGUGGGACUUUAACCGGGAAUGCACCCUCACCGCCCCUCUUGUCGUUAUGGCUCUCCUGUUCAAAAUCCCAGAAAAACAUGCCCUCUUUCAUUAAUACCAUGUACCGUACGAGAAUGAUUUUGAUUACUACACAGCCAGUUCUAUCAUGUUUCGAUUGUUACCUGAUGCCUCUAACAACAGCUAGAUAAGGGUCACAGACAACUCCAAACUCUAUUCUGUAUGGUUUCCUGCCAGUUUUCUCCUUCUUGUUGUUUAAUCGCUGGCCCCUACCUUUUCCCAGUAAUUUUGAUCAACGGUCCAUCCUCAGCAACCCCGGCCCUCCCAUUCGUAACGAAUCUGUAUACGAGCCAUGGCAAUUGUUUGCUCCACGAAAGGCUCCAUGAAAGGGUGCCAUCAUGAUACAUCCCGUCCUUCAUUCAGUGCAGUUACCAGGAGUGAUGAUGCAGCAUCGGUUGUGAUUGGUAGAUGACAUCCGACUCUUUGAAUGCUUCAGCCUCUCGGCCCUCUACAACAACCGCCUUUGCCUUUGCUCCUGACCAGAACGGUCUGCCCAUUAUUAUUGAUCAGUGUCCCAUCAAUCACAAUCACAGGCAUGCACUUCUCCACAGCAAAAUUCAAUUAUUUAAUACGCGACAUAGAAAAAUCAUGAAAGUUAUUUUUAAUGUUUACGAGGUAAAAUUUGAUAAAUCCAUACUCUUUGAGAAUGUCUUUGGUGACAGUGCUCUUGCCAGCCCCCAUACCACCACCCAUAAGUAGCAGCACCGGACUUCUCUCACUGAAGUGCCCCCGGCACCAUGUCCUCCGUACAAGGUGAUUCCCCCCGGCCGAUUGCUUUCAUUUCCUCAACUAGAGUAGAAAAUGCCCUUGUAACCUUCAAGUCCUCGGUCACCCUCUCAAAUCUUUGUUUUCUGCCAAAAGCGAUAAAAAUUAAAACCAUGACGAUAAUAUAAAGUAUCCAUUCGAUUCCUAAAACCAUAAAGUUUGGUGUGGUAUAAAUGAAAAACCACGGCACCUCUGGCCCUUCAUAAAAGAGAAAGAAGAUGAGGCCAAGUGGAAGUGGUGAUUGAAAAAUAAAAAAAUGAGGCCAAGUAAUAUAAUAUUACAAGUCAUUGUCAUCAAACCCUUUGGGCUUCGGUUUCCUCACGGAUUCAACAUCCAUAACCUGCCAUCCAUACAGAAAAUUAGAGUAAAGAGCAUAAGACAACAAAACACAAAAAACAGAAAAUAAAAGGUACUGUUCCUUUUCUUUUUAUUGUUUGGUUCUGAAAUUGAUGAUAAACCUGACUGAUAAACAGAGAUGCUCUGCUCCAAUGGAAAUGCGAAAUACGUGAGGAUGCAUUUUUCAAAUUCCCCCAUCAGCUUCACGUACAGAGAAGAUUGUAACUCAGGUAGAUUAGCAAAAAAUCAUCAUAGAUGUUAUUUCUCACACCCUUCAGAUCUUUUCAGAUAAUCAUAAGCCAAUUUUGCAUAGCCGUGGACACUCAUCUGCAUCUGCAAAUCCCAUCUGCCUAGCUACAAAGACAGUAAAAUGAAAAAAUGGGUAAAAUUUCUUCUUUCUUGACUCUGAGAAAAAAACAUUAUUGUCAAGAAAAAGUAAUACAACUUGAACAGUUUAUAGUUACUUAAAUUAAUUUACCAACAUAAUCGGGGAAUCUUUCAAAUCCAAACGGCCAGAUUCUGUCCUGACGAAGCCUGGAAUGAUGUGCUGGUCUCUUUUAGCGUUUGAUUUUCUCCAAUAGCCGUGAGUCCAAGCAGCAGCGGCACCGAUGAAACCCACCAAGGAAGCGGCAAGAACUCCUGUCAAUUUGGCAUGGCUUAUUUUCUUACUAGAAAACGAUCAGACAGAGAGAUUACGCAGAGAAAGAAAAAAGAAGGCUUACUUGACUGCAUCUUGUUGAAGCUUAGAGGAGGCUUCACUGCAGAUUAGAAAUAGUUUGCCGGGCUUUAGAUGAUUUUACCGAUCACAGAUGCAUGUCACUUGUGGGUCUUUGUAAGUAAAGGAUGAUGGAUAAAUUUUUAUAUGCUUAUUGAUUCCCACAUGACAAACAAAAAAGAACAUAUCUUUGAUUUGAUGCACAUCCUUUCACGUUUUGUUAAUUAAAACAAAAGCUAAAGUAUAUUGCAAUUUUUUUUCCUAAGAAUUCUUGGCUCCUAAGAAUAGGAUGGUGUUUUUUUUUUUAAAAAAAAAAAGUUAAAAGCUGACAUGGGGGCAUGUUAGGCUCUUUCGGACAAUGCACGCGAUUGCAUACCGUUGAAAAAAAUUUGAUUCUAUCAUAUCAUUAAAUUUAUCUUUUACUCAUUUUUAUCUAUGUGAGACGCGUGUGCUCGUCAGAUUUAUAAUAAGUUGCAAUAUCUUUUAAUUUUUCUUCUCUUUUUUUUCUAGAAAAUUGUGCCUAGCCCCUCAUAUUUUAUAUUAGUCAUUCAAGUUCAUUUUCUUUUGAUUUUUUUCUUGAUUUUUUAAUAUUUACUUGUUUUAUUGAUUCAUUUCUCAAAAAAAAAUUUUUACAAUUGCAUCCUCCUUUAAUUUUUUUGUUAUUAUAUUUGGUCUUUAUUCUUUUGAUUUUGUUUUUUUUUUUUUACUUUUAUUUUGUUGAUCUAUUUGUUGUUGGUGUUUCAAAAUCCGCCCUUUUAAUUUUGAUUUUUAAUUUUAGUCAUUUUCUUUUUUGUGGAGUUUUAUUUGUUUUCAAUUUAAUUAUUUAAUUCUAAUUUGUAUAUAUAAUAUUUUUCGAUUUGGUCCUUUUGCUUUUAAUUUUUUUUCCUUGGCUCUUUUGUCAAGAUAUUUAUAGCUUUUUAUUUUAUCCUUCAAAUCAAGAUUAUGAUUUUUUUUUCAAUAAUAAUAAUAAUUUCAAUUUGAUCUUUCUUCUUUUGAUUUCUUAUUUGUUUCCUUUAUCCUAAAAUUUUUAUGAUUUUUGUUAUAAUAGUAAUAAUAGCAAUGGUGGUAGUAGUAAUAGUAAUAGUAGUGGUAGUAAUAAUACUAAUAGUGAUAAUUACAAUGAUUGUAAUAAAAAUAAUGUUAGUAAUAAUGAUAAUGAUACUAAUAAUAUUAAUAGUGAUAAUAAUGUUAAUAAUAGUAGUUUAUUAUGAUAAUAAUAAUGGUGAUGAUGAUAAUAAUUGUGAUAGUACAACGACGACGAUAACUAAAAUAAUAAUGUAUUAAUAGUAAUAAUGAAACCAAUAAUAAUAUUGAUAAUAAUUGUAGUAAUAAUAGUAGUUUUUUAUGAUAAUAAUAGUGGCAAUGAGAGUAAUAUUGUUUUAAUAAUAAUAAUAAUUGUGAUAAUAACAGUAUUAAUAUUACUAAUAGUAAUUGUAAUGGUACUAGUAAUAGCAGAAUGAAUAACAGUAAGAAAUGAUAACAUUAGUAGGAUAUUAUUAACAAUAAUGAUAAUAACAUCACAACUUCUAAUAAUAAUAAUAAUAGCAGUAAUAGCACUACUACUAAUAAUAAUAGUUUAUUAUGAUGAUUAUGGUGGUUAUGAUAUCAAUAAUUAUUGUAAUUAAAGUAAUAAUAGUAACAAUUGUAAUAAUAAUAUCAAUAACUCAAAAUAAUGUUAUCAGUGAUAAUUUUAAUAAUAAUACUAAUAAUAAAUAACAACAACAAUAACAACAACAACAACAAUAAUGCUAAUAAUAGUAGUAAUAGUAGUAGUAGUAACAAUAAUAAUAACUGUCGCACGUGUGCGGCGGCGCGGCGAUCGUCCACCCUCAAGGAAAAAUCGGAAUAUUUAUUCCUUGAAAAUAGGGAGAGACAAGGAAUUCUUGUCUCUACAAGUGAAAAUAUGGACUGGGAGUCGCCACCUAGUAUUCGGGUUACUAGGAACCUUAACUGGUCUUUAGAGAUCGGGUACGGAGACUGGUUGCGUAAAGGGAAGGUAUUAGCACCCCAACUACGCCCUACCUAAGGUAGGCUGCAUUGUUUUAAUGUCUGAUAAAAUCUAAGGUCGUGUUUGUGGUUUUUUUUUUGUUCGGAAUACGCAUUACAUGUAAUGUCAUACCCCAGGUCUUAUUGUAAAAAAAUGAAACAUCCGGAAUUUAAAUAUCUGGAAUAUGUAUUACGUAUAUAAUCCCGGAUAUUAGAAAAAAAAAAUAAAUAAAAUUUUAUUGUUUUUGAAAUUUUGGCCAAUGUUCUCUUGACUUUAAUAAACUGGUUAUUAAAGCCAAAAUGCAUGCUAAAAUAUUGUUUUUUUGACAUAUGAAAAAUACGAUAUGAUUUUGUAGAUUUGAGACACUUGGCCGUAUGCACAAAAACAUUUUUUCUCUUUUUUCAAUUUUUUUUAUUUUUGGAAGUUUUGCCGAAAACCAGGUAUUUUAAUAUCAGAUUUUUGUAUUUUUAACAACAUAAAAAAAAUACCACCAAAUAUUAAUCAAAAUGACAUAAAAAUUACACGGAAAAAUUAUAAAAUGCUGAAACAAAUAUUUUUGAUUUUUUUCUUUGAAAUGGGCCGGAUUAGGCCCAAAUAUAUGGGCUGGGCCGAACCUGGCCCAAAGCAUGGGCUGGUUACUGUGCACAUGCACAGUAACCAUGAAUUAAUUAGCGAGUUACUGUGCACAUCACAGUAACUCGCUAAUUAAUCUGCAUGCAGAACAAAAAAAAACGACGGGAAAGGCUACCUGCGGUGGUGAUGUUGGACUCUCUUCUCUGCUUCUUCUUCUUCUGCUUUCUUCUCUCUGUCUCUCCCUUCUCUUCUCUUCUCCUCUCUUUUUUUUUUUUUCGAUCCUCCCCUGUUUUUAUAGGCAAAAACAGGGGAGACGUCAUGGUGGUGGCCGCCGCCCCCUCCACUAUCGAUGGAUAAAAAGGAGGGCAAGUGGGUGAUUGCGGGCGUCUUAUUGCGCCAAAUCCGGGUGAAAGAAGUUAGGCAAAAGGAGAAGAAAAAAUCUUCUUCUUCCCCUGCCUCGCGCGUCCAGGGGAAGAAGAAGAGCUACAGUGCCGUCAAAACGGCACCGUUUUGGGCUUCUGUUUUUUUUUUUUUUUUUGCAACAGUGAAUGAAACGGCGUCGUUUCAUUUAAAUGGAUUUGGCGCCAAAACACGUCAGAUUCAAAUUUCGGCCCUCCAUUUGCGCGCGUUUUACAAUUAGUCCUUGGUCUCGGAUUUCUUCAAUUCAGUCCCUAAUUGGCCAUUAAACCUCAAUAUUUAUGCAAUUAAGCCCCUGAUUUGACCAAAUUAACUUCUAAAAAUUAUAAUUUGACCCCAGAAAAUUAAUUUCUCUAAUUAAAGCCCAAAUUAACUCCAAAAUCAAUUUUUCUUGCAAUUAAAAUCUUCAUAAAUGCAAUUAAACCUUCAAUAAAUUUAAUUGAGUCCAUAAACUUCUGAUUUUGCAUUUUUCUUUCCACAAAUUGAAUUUUCUUUAUCAUCGGGCUCUCAUCAGUCAAUGAUAUACUGUCAAAAAUAAUUUUUAUAUUUUUGAAAAUCCUUAAACAAUUUUUUGAGCAUUUUUAGGCGCUUGGCAUUUUUUCACUGUUUAUUUUUUGAUAAUAUAUUUUUUUAAUUUUUUGUAUUUUAUUAUUUUUUAUGUAGGGACCCAGAAAUGGGUUACAACAGUUGCCCCCCUCUUUACAAUGCUUACGGAGCAAAGAUUUGUGCAUAGUAAGUGUUGUAAAGAUAAAAUAAAAUUGGUCUUUCGAAACUGGUCGUCUCAAAAUUUGAUUGACCUAAAACUUCAACCAAACCCAAAGUCCUGUGUGUGGUUGGGCUAAAUUGAGAUUCCUUUCGCCAAAUCCCCUCUAACCAGAACCAAAAUCCUAUGUGUGGUUGGGAUAGACUGAGAUUCCUGUCGGCAAUCCCCUCUAACCAGAACCAAAAUCCUAUGUGUUCAAACCCUUUGUUUUUUUGGAAGAAAGAUGGUAUAUUUUCACGGGCGAGCUGCCCACACAUACUUAAGGUGGUCUAUUUUCAGGGGCGACCAGCCCACACACUCACGCUGACUUUGGUCUAUUUUCAUGGGCGACCUGCCCAAACAUAAAAGUAAAGAGUGGUCUCAUUGUAAUGGGUGACCUACCCAGAUAAAAAAAAUGUGAAGAAUUGGAUGGCGAGGGUUUAAAGGCACACUCGAAAAGAGGUAGGGUUAGAAAAACGCAUUACCAAAGGAGUUGAGGGCUCAAAGGCGCACUCCAAAGGAGGUGAGGGCUCAAAGGUGCACUCAAAAAGAGGUGAGGGCUCAAAGGCGCACUCAAGAUGGAGUUGAGGGCUCAAAGGCGCACUAAAUGGAGGUGAGGGCUCAAAGGCGCACUCUAAAUGGAGUUGAGGGCUCAAAGGCGCACUCAAAAUGGAGGUGAGGGCUCAAAGGCGCACUCAAAAGGAGGUAGGGUUAGAAAACGCACUACCAAAGGAUGAGGGCUCAAAGGCGCAAAUGGAGGUGAGGGCUCAAAGGCGCACUCAAAAGGAGGUAGGGUUAGAAAACGCACUACCAAAGGGAUGAGGGCUCAAAGGCGCGCUCAAAAUGGAGGUGAGGGCUCAAAGGCGCACUCAAAAGGAGGUAGGGUUAGAAAACACACUACCAAAGGGAUGAGGGCUCAAAGGCGCGCUCAAAAUGGAGGUGAGGGCUCAAAGGCGCACUCAAAAGGAGGUAGGGUUAGAAAACGCACUACAAAGGGAUGAGGGCUCAAAGGCGCGCUCAAAAAUGGAGGUGAGGGCUCAAAGGCGCACUCAAAAGGAGGUGAGGGCUCAAAGCGCACUCAAAGGAUUGAGGGCUCAAAAGGCGCACUCAAAAUGGAGGUGAGGGCUCAAAGGCGCACUCAAAAGGAGGUAGGGUUAGAAAACGCACUACCAAAGGGAUGAGGGCUCAAAGGCGCGCUCAAAAUGGAGGUGAGGCUCAAAGGCGCACUCAAAAGGAGGUGAGGGCUCAAAGGCGCACUCAAAAGGAGGUGAGGGCUCAAAGGCGCACUUAAAAGGAGGUAGGGUUAGAAAACGCACUACCAAAGGGAUGAGGGCUCAAAGGCUCGCUCAAAAUGGAGGUGAGGGCUCAAAGGCGCACUCAAAAGGAGGUGAGGGCUCAAAGGCGCACUCAAAAGGAGUUGAGGGCUAAAAGGCGCACUCAAAAUGGAGGUGAGGGCUCAAAGGCGCACUCAAAAGGAGGUAGGGUUAGCAAACGCACUACCAAAGGGAUGAGGGCUCAAAGGCGCGCUCAAAAUAGAGGUGAGGGUUACAUAUUGUGAUCUUGACCUUUGGGAAGGGUUUGAUGUCAUCAUACAUCUUUGUCCUUCACCCUUUAUCUCAAGAGUUACCAAUUUUGCCCGACACUUUCCUUAGAACAGGAAUCAUGGAGUCAGUCCUACCAUGUGUUUUUGAUUGCCCCCCAGCUUGAUCAUGCCCCCCAAGUGUUCAACUUGGGUUUAGUUUGGGGUGAGGAUAUGUGAAAGUAAAUUUGGGUUUUUUGUACAAUGAAAUGUUUUCAUGCAAAAUUUUUGGAACUUCCAAGUUAUUCCAAUCACAAAAAUGAUUUUGAUAUUAGUUCAAAAUAAACUUGUUCUAAAAAAUUCAAGUGAUUCCUAUGGACAGGUUUCUUGAAGUGAUGAAAGCUUUUUUUGCUUUUGGUUGAAGAUGAAGGUGACAUCUGGUUGGUCAUAAAAGGUUUAAAUGUCAAUUUGAGGGUUAUUGAGAACCGAAUUGAUUCAAAGCAUUUAUUUUAUUUGCAUGAAUAAUGAUUUGACUCGCACGAGAAAGCACUGCCUACCUAUCCAGAUUGCUUGCCUUUGAUCAGAAAGGGCUUUAUCAGGUAUGUAAUGUAGGCUUUGGCUAUUGAUUAUGAAGAAAAUGGAUAUGUUGCAGGCUCAAAAGGAGUUUAAGGGAUUUCAAGACUAGAGAUCACUUGUGCUUGUUUCCUGACCUUUUGUCUUUUGGAAUUGUUUGUUUUUCAAAAUGAUUUAUCCUGCCCCCCAGUGUCGGGUUUGGGCUUUUCUCUUUGUUUUCUUCGUUUUUGUUUGGUUGAGCACAAUCAUAUCAGUUGUUUUAUGAGAAGCUCAAAUCUUUUAGAUCCUUUAGAUCUUCUUCUUUUCUUUUCUUAACCAAUCACUGCUUCAUUUAGAUGAUAAUGAAAGAUUAAAAAUUACAUGAUCAAUCCAGCACCCAUCUUCACUGCUUUGUCUGGAUGGGUAAAAACUCUAUUAUUUUGCCCCCCAGUGUGGGGUGUGAUCCUAGUCAAGGUUAUUUCCAAAAAACAUUACUAGGCUCAAAAUGGGACUGCAACGGAUAUUUUUUAGCCUUGUGAAAGGAUUAUCAAAGAUGGCCUUUCCUCAUCUCAAACUCAUGCAUUGAGGAUCGAUAGGUCUUGCUUUCAUGCGCGUAUGCCAAAUGAUUUAUUCAGUCAAAUAAAACUCAGCUUUUGAGUCACCUCAUAGUGUUGUUUAUCUUUGUUGUCUUUUUUCUUUCAAGUUUUCUAGGUAUAUGUGUACCUAUUUAAGGAAUCACUUGAAUUUUCAAAAUGCAUUUGUUUUGGACAAAUAUCAACACGAUUUUUGUUUUUUUUUUUACUCACUUUGGAGGUCCCAAAAAAAUAUUCUUGAAAACAUAUGAGAUUAAUGUAUGGGUUUGGAAGAAAAAAGGAAUACCAAAGGAUUUUUCAUGUUGUAGUGUUGUGAGCAAAGUUGCGCUCAAAAUGUUAUUUACAUGUAAUAACAACAAAGAAGAGUGUGAUGUGAACACAAGAAAACACAUGAUCUUAUUUCACAAGAAAACUCAUUAACAGAGAAAGUCUUGUUCAAAAGCAUUAACAAAAGGCAAUAACAAGGCAGGCUUCAUUCCUCUAUUUUGGCGAAUUUGUUCAUCGGCUAACCUCCUCUCAAAAGCUCUGCAUAGAGGACUCAAAGACAAUGUAGAACAAACACCACGGUCCAAAGUUGAGUUCCACAAAAUUCAAGCUAUCAUGCUGGACCAUUGAUGCUUCCCAAUUCCCCAAACAUUCCAUUCUAAUCUGCUUCAAGCAUGAUUAGGCAACGGGUUUGUAUUCACAUUGGGGGCAUCUUUCAAUUCUAUCCACCCAGCCUUGAUUAAUUGCAGAAGCUUUCUCUUGAAGGCGUUGCAGGUAUAGAUGCUAUGCCCAGUAAUACGAGCAUGGUAUUCACAAUUGAGUUCUGGCUUGUACCAAUUACGAUAAGGUGGCUGCAGAGGUGUUGGAGGUUCUGGAGCUAUUUGCCCAAUGCUUAAUAGCUUUUGAUACAUCUCAUUCAGAGGUAAUGAUAGUGGAGGUAGUUGUUCUUAAACCCUUUGGAAAUUUCUAAUUUGGCUUUUGCCUUGAAAGUUUUGGGGUUCAGGUUUUUUGAUGUUGGCAAUUUGGAAUGGAGUAUGGUAAUUUUGGGAUGUAUUUGUUUUACCCAUGUAGCCAUCUUCAACAUGGUGAACCUCUUUUCUUUCGACGCCUCUUUUCUCGGUUGGUGCAGCAAUUCUACCACUCUUGACACCUUGCUCUAUGCGUUCACACACUAUCACAGCAUCAGUGAAUUGUUGGGCUGAACUACCCAUCAUAUGUUCGUAAUAUGGUGCUUUGAGUGUGUUGGCAAAUAAAGAGACCAUCUCUUUGUCCAGAAGUGGGGGAUGUACUUGAGCAGCUAAUUCUCGCCAUCUUUGAGCAUAUUCCCUUAUGCUUUCUUUAUCCUUUUUUCUAUAUUGGACAAACUGGUUCUGUCGGGCGCAAUGUCCAUGUUGUACUUGUAUUGCUUGACGAAAGCAUCCACAAGAUUUUUCCAGUUGCGAAUUUUUGUGUUAUCCAAUCUCAUGUACCAACUCAAAGUUGCCCCACUUAAACUGUCUUGGAAAAAGUGCAUUAGUAGUUUUUCAUCAUGUACUACCUCAGCCAUUUUAUUGCAGUAGGACCUGAGAUGAGUCAUGGGGCAUUGUGUUCCACUGUAUUUGAUGAAUUCAGGAACACGAAAUUUCUUUGGGACAACCACAUUUGGGACCAAACACAUCUCUGCUGCCCGUACCGGGUCAUAUAAGUCUAUCCCUUCAAUGGCUUUAAGUCUGGCUUCCAACGCCUCUAUCUUAGCUUGAUCAAUGCUAUCAGAUGACUUAGCCUUGUGGGACUCAUUAGCAGAUGCCUUCACGACUGUUGGGGAUGGUGCAGGUGUCGUUGACUGCACAAAUGUUGGAUUUUGCUGAGGUUCUUGACCAUGUUCGCUCAUUCUUUCCUCAGGCUGAACUGUAGUAGGAGCCGGAGCAAAGGUGAUCGGUUGAUUAGAAGGACCUUCAUCAGAGGUAUUUCUUAGUGUUUGCUUGAGUAAGCUAGUGAGGUGAGCCACACUUAUUUUCAGAGAUUCCAACUCGUCGUGCAAAUAGGCCUCACGUUGAGCACGCUCUUCAUCUUCCAUGUUUCUUGCUCGAAGUCGGGUGUUGUAGACUUUUUGGGGACCUAUAUUUCAAUCUGCCAUGUAUGCAUGUUAAAUGUAUGAACAUGUAAUUUAUGUGAUGCACUUGCCCUUCAAGGGGUGACAUGGUUUUAUUAUUAUUAUUAUUAUUAUUUUUUGUAUGACAUGUUCUGUAAAGAAAGAUAGCGCAUACAAACUAAAGACAGGGUCUAUUCAUGAAUAGGUUUUCUACCUGGUCUCAAAAGGGUCUCAUAUCUGCCCAGUGACGUCCUUCGUAAAGGCAGUAUGGGGGCGUUGCAAAGAACAGUUAAGGCACGUAUGCCCACCAUUACCAAGCAGGCUCUCAGAUAUGAGUUGGGUGUUUCACGCAUCUGAACCCGACCAAUAGUCAAGGGCAGAUCGUUAAUUCCCCACUUAACUUAGAAGCUUGUGUGUGCUUGAAAAAUAUAAAGCAUGUGAUGCAUGAGGCAGUUUUAUACAAUGCAUGAACAAAUAUGUACAAAAAUUAAAGCGCGUAAGAAAUAAAUAAAGAAAAUGCAUAUUUAAAAAUAAACACGCAAACCACAACAAAAAACACAAUAAAUCAGACAACAACAAAGCUUAGUCCACAAGGUCCCCAGUGGAGUCGCCAUUCUGUCGCACGUGUGCGGCGGCGCGGCGAUCGUCCACCCUCAAGGAAAAAUCGGAAUAUUUAUUCCUUGAAAAUAGGGAGAGACAAGGAAUUCUUGUCUCUACAAGUGAAAAUAUGGACUGGGAGUCGCCACCUAGUAUUCGGGUUACUAGGAACCUUAACUGGUCUUUAGAGAUCGGGUACGGAGACUGGUUGCGUAAAGGGAAGGUAUUAGCACCCCAACUACGCCCUACCUAAGGUAGGCUGCAUUGUUUUAAUGUCUGAUAAAAUCUAAGGUCGUGUUUGUGGUUUUUUUUUUUGUUCGGAAUACGCAUUACAUGUAAUGUCAUACCCCAGGUCUGAUUGUAAAAAAAUGAAACAUCCGGAAUUUAAAUAUCUGGAAUAUGUAUUACGUAUAAUGUCAUAUCCCGGAUAUUAAAAAAAAUAAAUAAAUAAAUAAAAUUUUUAUUGUUUUUGAAAUUUUGGCCAAUGUUCUCUUGACUUUAAUAAACUGGUUAUUAAAGCCAAAAUGCAUGCUAAAAUAUUGUUUUUUUGACAUAUGAAAAAUACGAUAUGAUUUUGUAGAUUUGAGACACUUGGCCGUAUGCACAAAAACAUUUUUUUCUCUUUUUUUCAAUUUUUUUUUAUUUUUGGAAGUUUUUGCCGAAAACCAGGUAUUUUAAUAUCAGAUUUUUGUAUUUUUAACAACAUAAAAAAAAUACCACCAAAUAUUAAUCAAAAUGACAUAAAAAUUACACGGAAAAAUUAUAAAAUGCUGAAACAAAUAUUUUUGAUUUUUUUCUUUGAAAUGGGCCGGAUUAGGCCCAAAUAUAUGGGCUGGGCUGAACCUGGCCCAAAGCAUGGGCUGGUUACUGUGCACAUGCACAGUAACCGUGAAUUAAUUAGCGAGUUACUGUGCACAUCACAGUAACUCGCUAAUUAAUCUGCAUGCAGAACAAAAAAAACGACGGGAAAGGCUACCUGCGGUGGUGAUGUUGGACUCUCUUCUCUGCUUCUUCUUCUUCUGCUUUCUUCUCUCUGUCUCUCCCUUCUCUUCUCUUCUCCUCUUUUUUUUUUUUUUUUUUCGAUCCUCCCCUGUUUUUAUAGGCAAAAACAGGGGAGACGUCAUGGUGGUGGCCGCCGCCCCCUCCACUAUCGAUCCAUGGAUAAAAAGGAGGCGGCAAGUGGGUGAUUGCGGGCGUCUUAUUGUGCCAAAUCCGGGUGAAAGAAGUUAGGCAAAAAGGGAGAAGAAAAAUCUUCUUCUUCCCCUGCCUCGCGCGUCCAGGGGAAGAAGAAGAGCUACAGUGCCGUCAAAACGGCACCGUUUUGGGCUUCUGUUUUUUUUUUUUUUUUUUGCAACAGUGAAUGAAACGGCAUCGUUUCAUUUAAAUGGAUUUGGCGCCAAAACACGUUAGAUUCAAAUUUCGGCCCUCCAUUUGCGCGCGUUUUACAAUUUAGUCCUUGGUCUCGGAUUUCUUCAAUUCAGUCCCUAAUUGACCAUUAAACCUCAAUAUUUAUGCAAUUAAGCCCCUGAUUUGACCAAAUUAACUUCCAAAAAUUAUAAUUUGACCCUAGAAAAUUAAUUUCUCCUAAUUAAAGCCCAAAUUAACUCCAAAAUCAAUUUUUCUUGCAAUUAAAAUCUUCAUAAAUGCAAUUAAACCUUUAAUAGAAUUUAAUUGAGUCCAUAAACUUCUGAUUUUGCAUUUUUCUUUCACAAAUUGAAUUUUCUUUAUCAUCGGGGUUCUUAUCAGUCAAUGAUAUACUGUCAAAAAAUAAUUUUUAUAUUUUUGAAAAUCCUUAAACAAUUUUUUUGAGCAUUUUUAGGGCGCUUUGGCAUUUUUUCACUGUUUUAUUUUUUGAUAAUAUAUUUUUUUUAAUUUUUUAUGUAGGGACCCAGAAAUGGGUUACAACAAUAACAACAACGAUAAUAACAAUGAUAAUAAUGAUAGUGAUUGUGAUCAUGAUAAUAAUAUUAAUAAUAAUGAUGACGAUAAUAAUGAUAAUGAUAUUACUUAUCAAUAAUGAUAGUAAUAGUGAUCAUUAUAAUAAUACUACUAAUAAUAAUGACGAUAAUAAUGAUGAUGAUAUUACUUCUUAAUAAUAAUAGUGAUAGUGAUCAUGAUAAUGAUAGUUGUAAUAAUAAUAAUAAUAAUAAUAAUAAUAGCAAUAAUGAUAAUAAUAAAUAUCGUAGGGGUCACGAUGUUGUCUGGCGAUGGCAGAGAGUCCGUGCCUCCUGUGUGAGAGGUGUGUUGUGUGUUGGGAAGUGUUUUUGGAUUAUGAUUAAUUUUUAGGAGUCACCACCUAGUAUUGUGAUCACUAGGAACCUAUGGUCUGUGAGAGUCUGAGUAAGGGACUGGUUGUGCAAGGGAAAAACGCAUUACCCCCAGUGCACCCUACCUAAGGUAAGCUGCAUUGUUGUUUGAUUGCUUUUUGUUGGUCUUUAUAAGGCUUAAGGUAGAUCUCUCUUCAUGAGAGAGUCUCUACUUUAUUGGGUUAAAUCCUAACCGUUCUAAAAUCUGAAUUUUAGCAUCAUAUUUAUUUACACCUUGUAUCUUUAAUACCUGAAGGUGUACUUUAUCGUGUAAUUUUACCCCACACAAAUAUUAAAGUCUACAUCUAGACCCUAAAAAAAAGAUUGGAGAUGGUUUUUUGACAUUUUAGCCAAAUCCUAAUGGAUAAUCAUAAACUAGUUACGAUAUCCAUUUUUUAUUUUUUUUAAAACAUGAAAGAGAUGCAAUUUUUUUUUUUUUUAUUUUUUAUGAAAAAUAUGCUUAAAAAAAAUUUUAGGAUUUGACUGUAUGCAAUAAAAUAUAUUUUUUCUUUUUGAAAAUGUUUUGAAUUUUUUUUUGAAAUAUUUCGGAGAAAAACCAGGUAUUUUAAUACCGGAUUUGUAUUUUACAAUGUAAAUAUACAACCCGAUAUUAUGCAAAAUGGAUAGAAAAAUAUUUGAGAAAAUCACAAAUUUUUAAAAUGAUUUUUGAAUUUUUUUGGGAUUUUUUUUAAAAGGGGGCUGGGCCAGAACUGGCCCGGCCCAAAGCCAUGUUAGUUAUUCUGCCGCUGCAUGCAGAAAUGAAUUCUGUUCUGGCCCAACCCAAAGCCAUGUUAAUUAUUCUGCCGCUGCAUAUUGAAAUGAAUUAUGCAUGUAGCGACUGCGAUAAAGGAGGAGGCAACGCGGGGAGGAGAAGCUAUUGUCACUGGCUUGGCGUGAAGAUGGCAGUGGCGCUGGUGGAAGAAAUGGUGGCGGGGUUGGCUGCUUGUGGCAGAGGAAGAAAGAAGAAGAAACAUAAGAAGAAAAUAUGCAGAGGGAGAGGGAAGACCUCGCGGUGACUGCUCUACCACUGGUGAACCGUUUGUUGGUACAAAAGCAAGGUUUAUGUGGUGCAGAUAAUGGUGGAGAAGAUGGUGGUGGCUCUGGUUAGUGGCUAGAACGGCGAGGAGAGAGAGACUGCAGAAAUGGGGCAGUGGGGGGCUGUUUUUUUGCCAAAUUUGGACUCGAUUUUCUCCUUCCUCAGAUCAUCAACGGAAGCCUCUAUUUAGAGACGGUGGAAGAGGGUAAUCUCGUCUUCACCGAGAUAAAAUUUUAGCCCUCGAUUAUCUUGGAAAGGAUCCUAACCGUUGGUUCAAAGUAGCCUUCUCGAGUUGUCAAAUCUGCAGGAAAAGGCUGCAUGAGUUGACCUCUCUAAUCAGGUCAUUCAUUCUGAACAAUUCACAUGGGGUUGUAGAGGAAUUGCAGGGGAUCCGUUUUGUGCAAGUUUGGUUCAAUUUGAUGGAGAAAUCAAGUAUUAACUGCACCUGCAAAGUAGGCUCCCACACUGUUUCUUUCGGAUAAAACGGGGAAGAUAAUGAACAGUGAUCAAACAAUGCGUCGUCUGGUCCCUUCUCUCUCUCUCUCUCUCUCUCUUUUCUUUAAGUAAAACGACGUCGUUUUGGACUGAAAUGGGGAUUUUUAUUGAAUUUCAAUUUAGUCCUCUGGCUUUCAAUUUGUUUUAAUUGAACUCCUAAUUGACCCUAAAUGUUUGAUUUAAUGCAAUUAAGCCCCCGAUGAACUUCAAUUGCAACCCCGUAUUUACACGCCUUUUGCAAUAUGGUCAUUGGUUUCGGAUUUUGUCAAUUUAACCCCUAAUUGACCAUUACAUUUUUAAUUUCUUCAAUUUAGCCCCCAAUUUUUGUCAAUUAAGUCCCUAAAGUGUGGCGCCUGUUGCAAUAUGGUCCUUAGUCUAAGAUUUUAUCAAUUUAACCCCUAAUUGACCCCAAAACUUCAAUUUUCUUGCAAUUUUGCCCUUGAUUUCAGUCAAUCAACUUGGUAAAAAUUAAAUUUGAUCUUUUAAAAUUUCAAUCUUCUCAAUUAAGCCCAAAUUAAACUCCCAAACUUAAGUUUUCACCAAUUAAGCCUCAAAUAAAAUUAAUUUGACCAAUUUAAAGUAUAAUUAAGUCCUUGUACUUAAUUAAAUUCUUCAAUUGGACCCAAAUUAAUUCUUAAACAUAAUUAAAAUUUAAUUUGGCCCAUGAUUAAAUCAAAUUGGCCUAUUAAAAUUUAAUUAUGUUCUUGGUCUUAAUUUUUCACUAAUUAAGCCCUAAAUAAAAUUAAUUUGACCCAUUUAAAGUAUAAUUAGGUCCUUACACUUAAUUAAAUCCUUUAAUUGAAUCAAAAUUAAUUCUCAAACAUAAUUAAAAUUCAAUUUUGCCCAUGAUUAAAUCAAAUUGGCCUAUUAAAAAUUUAAUUAUGCCAUUGGACUUAAUUUUUAUGCAAAUUCGUCUAAUAAUAAUUUAAUUUGACCUUAAAUUUGCAUUUUUUUUUCUCCAUUUUUGGGUAUAAUGGGGUACAAUUAAGCCUUGAAUUUCCUCCAAAAAAUUGCAACUUGAUUCCCCGGGCUACUUUCUCCAUAUUGCCAGUCUUUAUUUUAUUUUUUAAUUUUUAUUUUGAAUUUUUUUUUUAUUUUUAGGGAAUAAUCUAGAAUUAGGUUAUGACAAUAAAGAUGAUAAUAGUAACAAUGAUAGUAAUAAUUUAUCAUUCGAUGUUAGAUUAGCUGGGGAUUGAGUUUCACCAUUUUUUCAUGUACGAUAUUUUCAGUCUAAUAACAGGAGUUGGGAGUUUAAAAAGCUUAUGAGACCCAACACCCUCUUUUAUUUUUUGCCUUAUUGGUUUUCUUCAUAAUUUUAUCAUUCAACAUUGGUGUUUUUAAAUAAAAAAAUGAUCAUCUAGGUUUCCUUUGAAAUUAUUAAAUAAAUCAAUUCACAUCAAGUUAACUAUUAUAUAGUUUAGGUGUUGAGCCUGACAUCUUAGCAGACUCAUAAGUGCUUGGGUUUAGCGCGUAGCCGAGUCCAAUAGGGUUAGGUCUAACACUUAACUAGAUCUCCUAGCACUUGGUUUUAAUACGUAGUUAAGUCCAAUAUAAUUGGGUCUAAUAUCUUAAUAGACUCAUUAGUGCUUGAACUCAAUGCGCAACCAAGCUCUAUAGAGUAUUUGGAUUUGGAGGUGUAGGUUAAGGCCUUUCAAGAAAAAGGAAUUUGUGUAAAAUAUGUUAGUAGAACAUAUAAUAAAAACAAAAAAGGACAAUGUCAUCCUACUAUGAGCGAGUCAGAGUAAAGGUUAGUAUGAAAAUAGAAAAAAAGAUGAAGAUAUAAUUAAACUUAAAUAAAUGGAUAUAAAAUGAAAUAACCAUAUUUUGUAGGGGUUUAAAAACAUGUUGGGGGUGGGGGGCUCCGCCUGCACAGAUAAUUAAAGUAAGAGUCUAAGUGGGUGAUGGAUGCAAGGACCGUUGGAAUAAUAUUCUAUACAUUCAUAAUUGAUGGUUCAUUUAGGAAAUAUAUCAUCUAUCAUCGUUUGUAACUAGUCUAUUUACUCGUGUAAUGUUUUGGUUCAUAUAAAAAACUAGCUAUUUCUUAAAAAAUUAAAAUUAGCUAGAAGAAAAUUUUGUAUUGUAAACAAAACAGUUAAUGUAUAUUUAAUUAAAUAAAUUGGUAAUACUACUAAAUAAAAUUCACAAGUUGGAUUAUAUAACUCUAAUUUGAUUUACAAACGAAUUUAUAUUGGCUUUUUUUUAACGACUCUCUUUGGCUAUUUGCUAGUUUUUGAAUAAUGGAGAGAUGGUAGAGAUUUUUUAAUCUAAAAUUUUAUUUUUAAAUAUAUUUCACCUAAAAAUACAUUAUAAAUAUUUUUAUAAUGUUAAUGAAUUAAUUUUAAAUUGAUCUAAAAAACAAAAUCAAACUAGAAAAAAAUUCUUUUUCAACCCAACCUACUUCUCCAGACUCCAUAAAAGCGUAAAAACACAAUAAGACGUGUUGACAACUAAUAUUUUUCCUUUUUCUUUACCGUUCAUCCAUGAGUUUCUCUCCUCACUCAAAUUCACGUAUUGAAAAAAGUUCAAAAUAAAUUCUUGAACCAAAACUAAGCCUGAAAAAGUUAAAGGGUCCAAUCCAAAAAAAUAAAGGGAAAUAGGUGGGCUGCAAAAAUGCUGCUUUUGAGACCGACGACGUGGUUUUCACAUGAUUUACUGCAAGUUUUCAUGGCAACGUGUUUAUAAUCGUUUUUUAAAUAAUUUUUUAUAUUAAAAUAUAUGUUAAUAAUAUUUUUUUAAUAAAAAAAAAAUUAUUUUAAACAUUAAUAUAUUAAAAUGUUUUAAAAACAUUAAAAAUAUAUUAAUUUAAAAUUAAUAAAAAAUUAAAAAUAUUUUUAAAACAUAAAAAUAAAAAUAAAAGGAUAUAUAAUUUUAAUCAAUGGUGCGGUCUAGUCAGGGUUCAACUACCAUAUAAAAUACACAGCUGGAAAUCACUUUACACUAUUCUAACUCUAUCGCCAAAGCAUCUCACAUACUUUUGCAUCAACUUGGCAUUAAAAUAUUCUUAAUAUUACCAGCUUACUAAGGAUCAGCUGAGGUGCAUGUUUCACUCUUACCUGCUGCUGUAUUAAUGGUAGAAAUUAUAUCAUGGUGUUCUUGGUCUGCAAAUUAAUCACUGUCUUUUACACGACAACACAGAGGUAUUUGUCGUCACUGAGGGUAUAAAUAUCAUUUUAUAUAUCAAUCUUAAUUAAAAAAAACACACACAGUAACAACAAAAGAAUCUAUGGUUAUAUCAGAACAAAUAUGAAGGUAAGCUUUCUCUCCCAAGCCAUUCCUCCAUGCCAAACGUACUUGAAAUUGGACGAUGGUGUCAUGUUUACGAGGGACAGAUGAAAAGCUAUAGAAAAGGAAAAUCACAACAAUAUAUGCAAAAGCUUACUCAAGCGCUUUGUUCUUCUCACUUUAUGUAUUUUUGAAAGCGACAACUGAAUCUAUAUCUGCCUAAAACCCUAACAUUUUCAUCUCUUCAACUUUCAAUCUUAAAUCUUCUUCGGAGGGUGUCUUGCCACCAUCCUUCAAGGUUGCACGCCACCAUGCCAUUAGCUCACCCUGCAGAAUACAGGAGCCAGGCUUAACCGCCACUUUCAAGAGUAAAAAAAUGAGAGCAACAUAUGAGUAGGAUCACUUUCUUUCUCAGGUACAAGGAUAACUCAAAUUGUCUUCAUGAAGAGACUCCACCAAGCAAAUGCAGAUUCAGUCAUAUAAAUCAUCAAUGAAGGAGACUUCAAUGCAACAUGAAUCAAGAUUUGGAGUGUAAAAUAGGGAAUAUAGAAGAAAGAUCAUAAGACCAUAUUCUGAUGAGUAGUGAUCCUUGAAUGAGAAAAGGGCUACUUGACCGAGGCCAACUAAUCGUGCAUUCAAAACAUACAAACAUGAUUCAACAGGGGAAAAAAGGCUGUAAAUAGCCAGAUUAAUUAUAUGUAGUCCAUGAAUAAAGAUAUCAAGCUCGCAGAUUCAGCUGGAAAUUUAUACAUCUAAGAUUGAAAUUUAAAUUGCUAGAUUAUAUAGAACAUGAAUUCGUUUUCAGAGUCGGGCUUUUACCUCGGUGAAAUCGUGGUUGGAGAUGUAUUGACUCUUAACUAAACAUUUGACGCCACCUACAAUUACAGCAAUAGAAUUUUUGAACUUUUGUUUUGAACUCUGACUUUGAACUCCUGUAUGAUCAAAAGAAAGAACAGGGGAAAAAGGGGAGGGGGUGAGUCGUCAACAGAAACGGAAGCUAAUUAAUGACAACCAUGCAACUCGUCCAUCUAUCAUAGAUAGGAGACAUGGUAAACAAUUUUGGCUUACCAGUAAUGCAGGCUACAUAAUACCCAGUUCCACCCAAUCCCUGUUCCCACUUCCCAAGCCGCAAGCGCAGGAAAAAGCCAUCAAGAUGUGAUGGUGGUGUAUGCGAAUUCAUCCAUCUGGUGCCAAUGCAUGCAACAUAGAAAAUAUCAAUAAAAGGAUAAAAACUUUUACGACAAUAAUUUCUAGAAAAGAAAAAUUCAAGCUUUGAUGAAUGUUACAGAUAAAACCAAGGUUAUUCCCUGAAAGUAGUUUUGAGUUUUAGUUCAUAUUGGUGUUGAUAAGUAGGACUAUCAAGGGAGAGAAUCAUAAAUGAGAAAGCAGGACUAGAUUUAUAAUUAUCUUGUAAUUGAGUUUUUCUAGAAUGACCAGCGAUUGCCUUCAAUUGCAGUGUAGCUGAUGUAAUAGUGCAGUUAUCAUAAAAAAGCCACAAACACAUUAUUACAUAUUUGCUUCUCUAUGUUCAAAUUUUGCAUGGAGGUAUGCCAAAAGAAGACAGGAGACCCAAAAAGAGCUACUAAAAUUUACCCCCCAUUGAUAUUGACGAUGAAGUACAUUAAUUACAGCCGUAAGAUAGAUAUGCAGAGAGCUAUCCGAGCUAUCCUUGGAAUUAAUUUUCCUAGAAGGUCACUCAGAUUUCACUUCGAGUUCAAAAAAUUUCGAAGUUAUGGAGAAGAAGAAAAAAGGUCAUCCUUCAGUGGUCCUGAACACUACAGACAGAUUACAGUUUGAUCUGCAUCAGAAGGUAACACGGUUAUCCAAAUGCCAUCUUCUUGCCAGAAGGGUAGACUCUCUACCAUAAAACCAUGUUGCAGAAACAAGCUUGUAAGAUAUGCAAAAGACAAAUGGAAAAGAACUGACUUCGAGGUGGGAGGCAAAUGCCAAAAUCACGAGCCAAAGUAUAUGAGGAUAAAGUAACAGAAGAUGAUUUGAAUGAAUAAGCAUGGACAUACCAAUAUUAAGCCAGAUGUUCAAGCCAAUGCAUUUCAAAAUUAGCAGCUCACGAAUUUUCUGGUUCAAAUUUGUCAUCCUCGGUUCAUAUUUAGGAAAAUGAGGCUUUAAUGUCCUUACCAGAAGUUUAUUAGAUUUUCUAUGCAAUCAAAAAACUUGCCACCUUGGACUUGGUUUAUCUAGUAGAGAAAAUAAAUGUUAGCAAUCAAUGACAAAGAAUAACAAUGCAGCAGCCAGAACGUUUAAGGGGUGAAUCUCUUACGUAACCAGUCACAUACUAUAGUAUCUAUGUUGACCAGUUAGGGUUUCUAAUGACCAUAAUACUAGGUGGCGACUCUUUAAAUAAGAAUAUUCUCCAUCAAAGAAUAGGAUGCUAGAAAUCCAUUCUUCCCAAAGAUUUAAUAAUUUUUAAAGCCUCUGCGAUGUCGUGUGCGACAAAUAUUAUUUGAAAUAAAAAAAACUUGUUAGGGAGUGCGUAAUAAGCGCCAACAUUUGGACAACUCCUGUGGGAUUGUCCGACCAUGAAACACUACCUUUUGAGGUGGCGUUUAGAAGGUCUCGGCACCUCCUACAUGAUGGGGUGGCGCAUGGCCUAGAAGUGCCUUUAGUUUGUUGUCAAUGACUUUUUUUUUCUUGUUGUUUUUUUCUCCUCUCCUCAUAUUAAACACCAUCCCAUUCAAAAAUUCAGAUUAACUCCUUGAAUUUCUUUUUCCUUUACAUUUGGUCUAUGUAUUUUUUACUAUAUUUGUUUUUAUCAUAUAUAAGCCAUUAAAUUACAAAUAUUUUUCAAUCCCCCCUAUUUUUAUUUUUUAAUCUUUAAAAUUUGAUCCUUAUUUUUUAUAUUGUUGUUUUUUAUUUUCAAUCAUCUAUAAAAUUAUUAUUUUUUCAAUUUCACCCUUUUUUAUUUUUUUUCUUUUAAAUUUGGUUAUCAUUCUUUUGAUUGCUAUUUAUUUUUGUUUGGGAUCAUUUUUUAGUUUUUUUUUUACAAUUUCAUCAUCCAUGAUUUUUUUUUCUUAUCAAAUUUACUCUUUAAUUUUUCUAUUGCUAUCUUUUAUCAUUUGAUGAAUUUUUUCAACUCAUAUUGUUUUUACAAUUUCAUCAUUCAAAAUUAAAUUGGUUGAUAAUUGAGCUUCUUGAUUGAACAUGUUUUAAGGAUUUCAUGGAUUGUGAGUUUUAGAUAUGAGACCGGGUUUAGAAGGUUUGCCGGAGUUUAUUUGUUUUUAUUUUUUCAUUUUUUUCAAACAUAAUGGUUUUUAUUCUGCACCCUAUUUUUAGAGUUUUGCUUUAUUAUUAUUUUUAUGUUUUGUCUUUCAUGGAAUUAGUCUCAUGUCUAUGACUAUAGUAACUAGUUUAAGAAGUUGACAUGAGUUAACUUUUGAUUUUUUAGGUUUUUUUAAAAUUGAUUUAUUUCAAUUUCAUCAUUUAACAUCUAACUCAUUUUAAAUUAGUCUUCCUAUAUAUUUUUUACUGGGUUAUAUCAAUCUAAUGCUCAUGGUCGCGGGGUUGGCAAGUUGACUCAGGUUGAUUCAUUUUUUUUGUUGCUACAAGGUUGGUCUAGGUCCAUGACCAAAAUCACUGGUUUCAAAGGUGAACGUGAAUUGACUUUUUUAUUAUCCUUUUUAAAAUUGAUUUACUUCAAUUCCACCCUUCAAUAUAUGAUUUGCUGGAAAUUGAUCUUUGUACUUUUUUUUUGUUUCCUUUAUGUUGGAUUAUCCUUGAUCUUGUGUCCAUGGUUGCGGGUUUUGAAGGUUAAUCCAAAUCAACUCAUAUUUUUUCCAUUGCUUUUUUAAAUUAAAUUAAAUUUUGUUUUUGUUUUUGUCAUUUAACAUCGAGUUGUUCGAUAAUCGAGCUUCAUGUAUUUAUUAUUGACUUUCAAACCUUUUCUCUUAUGUUUAUUUUGAUGAGAUUGUUCUCACCUUAUAUUCAUGAUCGUUAAGUUAGCGAGUUAACUUAAUUUAAUUGAUUUUUUUUAUUUUAUACUAUAACAUUGAGUUGUUUCAAAAUCCAAGUAGACUUGGAGUGGAUUUUUUUAACUUUUUUUUAAUUCUUGUAUGUUUUUUUGUUAUUAUAAUUUUUUUUUUAAUAUUAUUUUUUUACAUUGAAAAAAGUUUUAUUCGACCCGCAUAGUUUCUCACUAUUUUUUCCCAAUUCACCUCAACAAAACAUUUAUUUACCGUGCGUGCUUCGAUGACUCUCAAUCCAAUGGCUCACCCUCCACAAAAAGUUUUAUUAAAGAGAACAAUCACGUCAAUUCUCUCUCCACCAUUUACAUAGCCCACUUCCCCAAAUUCACUUUUCACUUUAAAACUACAUCAUUCACCGUAGAUAAUGUCCAAUCCAACGGCAAACUUUAAAUCAUUCCCCUCCUGCGGAUAUCAAUUCGCGUCCGCCUCAAGUCAAUCUCCACCUAUUGCAGCUCCUCUGGUCUCAUAAAUGAGGUAAGGAUAUUGAUUGCGUAAAAAAAAAGUUAUUAACACUUUAAAUACACUCUUUAAGAUAGGUUGUAUUGUUUUAAUAUCCAAUAAAAUUUAAGGUAUAAUUGUGGUUUUUAAUAGUUGAUUCUAUCUGUCUAAGAUUUAAGAAAAUCACUUCUUUGUAAUGAUGUUUUUAUCUUAAUGGGAUAAAACACAACCGUUCUAGCGUUUAAAAAAAAAAUUAAUAUCCAAAAUACGUAUUACGUGUAAUGUCGUAUCUUAGAUAUUAAAAGUCAAACAAAAUAAAUUUUUUAUUGUUUUUAAAAAUUUUAGUCAAUGUUCUCUUGACUUUAAUAAACUGGUUAUUAAAGCCAAAAUGCAUGCUAAAACAUUGUUUUUUGGUGUAUGAAAAAUACAAUGUGAUUUUUUAGCUUAGGAACAAUUGACUGUAUGCACAAAAACAUUUUUUAAAAUACUUUUUUGCAUUUUGAAAGUUUUUAUGAGAACCGUGUAUUUUAAUACCGGAUUUGUAUUUUUACAGUAUAAAAAUACAAAUCAAUAUUCAGUAAAAAUUAGUAGAAAAAUACAUGGAAAAAUUACAAUUUAAAAAACAAGAAAUUUUUACUUUUUACUCUUUUUUUUGUCGGACCCUGCUAUUUGGGUUAGGCUGGGCCCAACCAUUCAGGUUGGCCCGAAAUUGGUCCAGCCAUGAAUAGUGGAGAUUGGUAGCGAAGGAGAAGAAGGAAGAAGAGAAGACUGACUUGUGGUGGCAUCGAGGCGGUGUUGCUGGCGGUGGUGGUUGCAACGGCGCUACUAGUGAUGGCUGGGGGCGGCGGUGGGCGGCGAUGUUGCUCCUUCUCCCUCUUCUGUUUUGUCCUCUCUUUUUUUCUUUCUUUUCCUUUCCUUUUCUCUCUUCUCUCUUCGUUGUUCUCUCUUUCGGUCUUCCCCCCUCUCUUCUUCAUGUUUUUUUUCCUUUCUGUUCUUCUUUUUUGCUCUCUCUUCCCCUGUUUUUUAAAAGAGGACAGUUGUCACCCCUCUACUGCCCCUCCAACACGUGGAAAGUUGUGGGCAAGUUGGGGUGGUGUCGGUGUCUUUUUGAAAAGGAGUCGGCAUCUUUUUGAAGAGAGAGAUGGCGGUGACAGAGGAAGAAAAGUUUUCUUUUUCUCUUGCUUCGCGCAUCUAGGGGAAGAAGAAAACCCACAGUGUCGUUCAAAAGGGCACCGUUUGGAUCUUUUUUUUUAAAUAGUGCAUGAAACGGCGUCGUUUUGGGCAAAACGCGCCGUUUCAUUUAAAUAAAAACGACGACAAACUUAUGGGAAAGUACAAAUCAGUCCUCGAUUUAUGAUUUGUUCAAUCGAGUCCUCAAUUGCAAUUGUGAUUUUAAAAAUUAAUUCAAUUGCAUCCUUACCAAAUUCAAUUGCCGGCCUUAAAGGUGGUUGCCUUUUCCAAAUCGGUUCUUGGUCUUGAAUUUAUGCAAUUUGACCCUCAAUUGAGCAAUAAACUUUUAAUUUCUUCAAUUUGGCCCCUGGUUUGGUUUAAUUACAACUACUCUAUUUACGUGUGUUUUUUAUUUUGGUCUUUGGUUUUAGAUUUCUUCAACUAAGCCCCUAAUUGACCAUCAAACUUUAAUAUUUAUGCAAUUAAGCCCCUUAUUUGACCAAAUUAACUCUAAAAAAUUAUAAAUUGACCUCGAAACUUUAAUUUCUUCCAAUUAAAACCCAAAUUAACUCCAAAAUCACUUUUCCUUGCAAUCAAACCCUUCAUAAAUUCAAUUAAACCGUCAAUAAAAUUUAAUUGAGUCCAUAAAAUUUGAUUUUAGACUUUUAUUUCUCAAAUUGAAUUUUCUUUUCAACAAGGCUCUUAUCGGUCAACAAAAUACUGUCAAAUUUUAAUAUUUGUAUUUUUGAACCUUCUCAACCAAUUUUAAACCAUGUUUUGAGUGUUAUGCCAUCCUUUUUUUAUUGUUAUAUUUUUUUAUAAUAUUUGUUUUUUUAUUUUUUUGUAUUUUAUUUUAUUUUUUUAAGAGAGAAAAAUAUAAAUAGGAGAAAAACUCAACAAUAGGUUAUGACACGGUAAUCAAUCAAUUAAUCAUAAAACAGCUUAUAUACUAAUCAAAUGACACGUCGUUUCAUACUGUAAUGUUAUUUUUGGGAUUUUGAUGUCUGCAGAUGGUCAAGGAGGCGAUUGUGGCUUUGAAGGGAAGGAGUGGAUCGAGCCAGAUUGCAAUUGCUAAGUUCAUCGAAGAGAAGCACAAGUCCAACCUCCCCACCAAUUUCAAGAAACUGAUGCUUGUUCAAUUGAAGAAACUUGUUGCUAAUGGCAAGCUAGUUAAGGUCAAGAACUCCUUCAAGCUCCCUCCUAAAUCUUCCGCUAAGGAUGCUGCUUCUGUGAAGAAAGCGGCUCCAGCGAAGCCCAAGGCCGAGGCUAAGCCUAAGCCGGAAAAGGCUGCGAAGGCAGAGGCUGUAAAGUCUCCAGCGAAGAAAGCUGUUGUUGCGGCUAAAAAUAAGACUCUGGCGAAAAAGGCUUGAAGAAACCCAAGAGUAUUAAGUCGCAAUAAAGAGGGUGUUUGGCAUUAUUGCGGUGGAAAAAUGCUUUUCAAAAAAUUUGAAUUUUUUUUUUUUACUAGGAAUGAAUAUGUUUUUGAUAUUUUCAAAUUAUUUUGAUGUGUUGAUUUCAAAAAUAAUUUUUAAAAAAUAAAAUAAUAUUAUUGAUAUAUUUUUUUGAGUGAAAAGCACAUUCCCAAACACGCUGAACCACAUUCCCAACCACGCUGAAGACCGAGAAGUGAAAGCUGUUUGUGUGGAUAAAAUGACUUGUAAAUUGAGGGUUAUUUGGGUAUAGAAUUGCUUGAUUUUUUUAGGAGAAAUAAUUUCAAUGUAAUUCAACUUAUAUUUGAAAGCAAAUUGUUUGUUUUAGUGAAUAUUUGGUAUUGGCGUGGUUAAUAUUUUUUGAAAAUGUUUUUUUAUUUAAAAAUAUAUAUUUAAAAUUUUUAACAUCAUUACUACCCGAAAUUAGAAAACCAAAUAAAUAUACUUUUAGAAUUUAUAUAAACAUAGGUUAAAUUUCAUGAAAAGAGUAAAAUAAUUCAAAGUUAAUAGCAUAGCAUUAUUUAUCAAAUAAAUAUUAGAAAAUAAUAUAAAUCAUAUUCUAAGAAUUUACCUAAUAAAUUAAACUAUUGGUUGAGAUGAUUUUUUGACAUAAUAUUAGAGUCUUGAUGACUAACCGGUCACGAGUUUGAAUCUUAUCAUCUCUAUUUAUUUAAUAAAAAUUAAAUAUAAAGUAAUGUAAAUAUACACAAGUUUUAACUUCAAAUGAAGAAAGAUGUUUUUAUUUGACAAGAAAUGAAUUCAUGAACAUGUCGGUGAUUGCAAUAAAGUGUUUGAGCUCCAAUUGAGCAGCGGGCCUGGAAGGAUCCAUGACGAUGUCAUUCCAAAAAGAGCCCGGCUCGAAAAUGGGGCUUGGGUCUGUGUAAAGCUCGUAGAUGGAUUCUGCUUCAGCCCUCAAAUUGCUUGCAUUUGUCAAGCAUUUGUACCCCUCUGGAUCAACCAGGAGCUUGUUGUCCCCAUCUUUCCAUGCUAUCAGCUGCAUUCAUUUUGUGCCAAUCAAAAAGUCAGUGUAUAAGAAAAAUGCAGUCCCUACUUGUCUUUUGAAUCGAUACCAGUACGGAAAUCUACAGGCAAGAAUUAAGAUAACUGCUGCUAGUUCUGAGCUACGAGGUAUGGAAGGUGGGGCUAAUUUCCGUACAUAAUGCAGCGUGUUCGAGGUCCAUUUCUUGUCGAGGCCUCGAGAUACAGAAUAGUGCAUCCAGUAGACCACAAUCUAGGAUUCCAAGCUCAAACUUACCAGUUUUCUUAGAACUGACAAGUGGGUGAUGGGUGAUUUCGACACUUGGCAUGUCAAUCGAUAGAUAGUGACUCAAAUAGCAUGGUGGCCCGACAAAAAUUCAAGGGUGGUUGGCAGACUCUCUUUCCUAAUCGAUGUGUCGUUUCAGAGGUGCCACGUUCAUGAAAUUUGAGGCGUUGUGCAUUUGUGUGUGCCAGUCACUACGAGAAAGAAGAGAAGAAGCACGGGAUGCAUGGCGGAUAAACCUGAUGGAAAAGUCGUACUUACAGUAGGCGGUGCUCCGACUGAAUUGGUGCAAUAAAGCCUGGCAUUAUCAACAAGUUGGCAGUAUCUUUCAAAUGCGCUGGCAAAUCUCUUGUGGGACUUUAACCGGGAAUGCACCCUCACUGCCCCUCUCGUCGUUAUGGCUCUCCUGUUCAAAAUCCCAGAAAAAAAUACCCUCUUUCAUUACUACCAUGUACCGUACGACAAUCAACGAGAAUGAUGUUGAUUACUACACAGCUAGUUUUAUCAUGUUUCGAUUGUUACCUGAUGCCUCUAACAACAGCUAGAUAAGGGUCACAGACAACUCCAACCAGCUCUAUUCUGUAUGGUUUCCUGCCAGUUACUUCUCCUUUCUUGUUGUUUGAUCGCUGGUCUUCUUCCUGUUGCCCUACCAUUUCCCAGUAAUUUUGAUCAACGGUCCCAUCCUCAGCUACCGGGUACCCUUGCCCCUUUCGAUAACGAUAUAUGUGCACAUUACGAGCCAUGGCAAUUGUCUGCUCCACAAAAGGCUCCCAUGAAAGGGUGCCAUACAUGAUUACAUCCCGUCCUUCAUUCAGUGCAGUUACCAGGAGUGAUGCAUUCGUUGAUGAUUGGUAGAUGACAUCCGACUCUUCGAAUGCAUCAGCCUCUAGGUCCCCUACCAAAACCGCCUUUGCCUUUGCUCCUGACCAGAACGUUCUGCCCAAUUAUUUAUUGAUCAGUGUCCCAUCAAAUCACAAUCACAAGGCAUGCACUCUUUUCCACAGCAAAAUUCAAUCAUCUUUAAUACUCUUUGAGAAUGAAAGUUAUUUUUAAUGUUUACGAGGUAAAAUUUGAUAAAUCCAUACUCUUUGAGAAUGUCUAUGGUGACAGUGGUCUUGCCAGCCCCCAUACCACCACCCAUAAGUAGCAGCACCGGACUUCUCUCACUGAAUGCCCCCGGCACCAUGACCUCCGUACAAGGUGAUUCCCCCCGGCCGAUUGCUUUCAUUUCCUCAACUAGAGUAGAAAAUGCCCUUGUAACCUUCAAGUCCUCGGUCACCCUCUCAAAACAUUGUUUUCUGCCAAAACCCACAAAAAUUAAAACCAUGACGAUAAUAUAAAGUAUCCAUUCGUUUCCUCAAACCAUAAAGUUUGGUGUGGUAUAAAUGAAAAACCACGGCACCUCUGGCCCUUCAUAAAAGAGAAAGAUGAGGUCAAGUGGAAGUGGGUGAAUUGAAAAAUAAAAAAAAAUGAGGCCAAGUAAUAUGAUAUUACAAGUCAUUGUUAUCAAACCCUUUGAGCUUUGGUUUCCUCACGGAUUCAACAUCCAUAACCUGCCAUCCAUACAGAAAAUUAGAGUAAAGAGCAUAAGACAACAAAAACAAAAAACAGAAAAUAAAAGGUACUGUUCCUUUUCUUUUUAUUGUUUGGUUCUGAAAAUUGAUGAUAAACCUGACUGAUAAACAGAGAUGCUCUGCUCCAAUGAAAUGCGAAAUAAGUGAGGAUGCAUUUUUCAAAUUCCCCCAUCAGCUUCAUGUACAGAUAAGAUCGAAACUCAGGUAUACAGGCAAAAAAGUCGUAGAUGUUUUUCUCACACCCUUCAGAUCUUUUCAGAUAAUCAUAAGCCAGUUUGCAUAGCCGUGGACACUCAUCUGCAUCUGCAUAUCCCAUCUGCCUAGCUACAAAGACCAGUAAAAUGAAAAAUGGGUAAAAUUUCUUCUUUCUUGACUCUUGAGAAAAAAACAUUAUUUGUCAAGAAAAAGUAAUACAACUGAAACAGUUUAUAGUUACUUAAAUUAAUUUACCAACAUAAUCGGAGAAUCUUUCAAGAUUUUCCAAACAGCCAUAUUCUGCCCUGAAUAAGCCUGGAAUGAUGUGCUGGUCUCUUUUAGCUUUUGAUUUUCUCCAAUAGUCGAGAGUCGCAGCGGCACUGAUGAAAACCACUAAGGAAGCGGCAAGAACUCCUGUCAAUUUGGCAUGGCGGUUAUUAUUAUCUAAAUGAAAGGAAGGAACUGUCGUCAAAGCUUAUUUUCUUACUAGAAAACGAUCAGACAGAGAGAUUACGCAGAGAAAGAAAAAAGAAGGCUUACUUGACGGCAUCUUGUUGAAGCUUGGAGGAGGCCUCACUGCAGAUUUGAAAUAGUUUGCCGGGCUUUAGAUGAUAUUAACGAUUACAGAUGCCUGUCACUUGUGGGUCUUUGUAAGUAAAGGAUGAUGGAUAAAUUUUUAUAUGCUUAUCGAUUCCCACAUGACAAACAAAAAAGAACAUUUCUUUGAUUUGAUGCACAUCCUUUCACGUUUUGUUAAUUAAAUCAAAAGCUAAAGUAUAUUGUAAUUUUUUUUCCCCUAAGAAUUCUUGGCUCCUAAGAAUAGGAUGGUGUUUUUUUUUAAAAAAAAAAAAAGUUAAAAGCUGACAUGGAAGCAUGUUAGGCUCUUUCGGAUAGUGAGUACGAUUGCAUACGGUGGAAAAAAAUUUUGAUUCUAUCAUAUCAUUAAAUUUAUCUUGUCCUCAUCUUCAUUUAUGUGAGAUGCGUGUGCUCGUCAGAUUUAUGAUGAGUCACCGACAUCUUUUUUUUCCUUUCUCUUUUUUUCUAGAAAAUUGUGUCUAGCCUAUCAUAUUUUCAUAUUAGUCCUUCAAGUUUAUUUUCUUUUGAGUUUUUCCUUGAUUUUUUAAUAACUAUUUGUUUUAUUUUGAUUCAUUUCUCAAAUUUUCUUUUUUCUUUUUUGCAAUUGCAUCCUCCUUUAAUUGUUUUGUCUAUUAUAUUUGAUCUUUAUUCUUUUGAUUUUUUUUUUUUUUUUUACUUUUAUUUUGUUGAUCUAUUUGUUGUUGGUGUUUCAAAAUCCACCCUUUUAAUUUUGAUUUUUAAUUUUAGUAAUUUUCUCUUUUGUUGGAGUUUUAUUUGUUUUCAAUUUAAUUCUUUAAUUCUAAUUUGUAUAUAUAAUAUUUUUUUAUUUGGUCCUUUUGCUUUUGAUUUUUUUUUCCUUGGCUUUUUUGUCAAGAUAUUUAUAGCUUUUUAUUUUAUCUUUCAAAUCAAGAUUAUGAUUUUUUUUCAAUAAUAAUAAUAAUAAUUUCAAUUUGAUCUUUCUUCUUUUGAUUUCUUAUUUGUUUCCUUUAUCCUAAAAUUUUUAUGAUUUUUAAUGUAUCCUUUAAAUCAAGCUUAUGAUGUUUGUUAUAGUAGUAAUAAUAGUAGUAGUGGUAAUAGUAAUACUAAUAGUGAUAAUUACAAUAAUUGUAAUAAAAAUAAUGAUAGUAAUAAUAAUAAUAAUGAUACUAAUAAUACUGUUAAUAGUGAUAAUAAUGUUAAUAAUAAUGGUAAUAAUAGUAGUUUAUUAUGAUAAUAAUAGUAGUUUAUUAUGAUAAUAAUAGUGGUGAUGAUGAUAAUAAUUGUGAUAGUACGACGACGACGACGAUAACUAAAAUAAUAAUGUUAUUAAUAGUAAUAGUAAUGUUGAAACCAAUAAUAAUAAUAGUGAUAAUAAUUGUAAUAAUAAUAGUAGUUUUUUUAUGAUAAUAAUAGUGGCAAUGAGAGUAAUAUUGUGAUAAUAACAAUAUUAAUAUUACUAAUAGUAAUUGUAAUGGUAAUAGUAAUAGCAGAAGGAAUAACAAUAAGAAAUGAUAACAUUAGUAGGAUAUUAUUAACAAUAAUGAUAAUAACAUCACAACCUCCAAUAAUAAUAAUAUAAGUAGUAAUACUACUACUAAUAUAAUAAUAAUAAUAAUAGUUUAUUAUGAUAGUUGUGAUGGUUAUGAUAUCAAUAAUUGUGGUAAUUAAAGUAAUAAUAGUAACAAUUGUAAUAAUAAUAUCAAUAACUCAAAAUAAUAAUAAUGUUAUCAAUGAUAAUUUGAAUUAUAAUACUAAUAAUAAAUAACAACAACAACAACAAACAACAACAAUGCUAGUAAUAAUAGUAAUAGUAGUAACAACAACGAUAAUAACAACGAUAAUAAUGAUAGUGAUAGUGAUCAUGAUAAUAAUACUAAUAAUAAUGAUGACGAUAAUAAUGAUAAUGAUAUUACUUAUCAAUAAUGAUAGUAAUAGUGAUCAUGAUAAUAAUGCUAAUAAUAAUGAUGACGAUAAUAAUGAUGAUAAUAUUACUUAUUAAUAAUAAUAGUGAUAGAGAUCAUGAUAAUGACAGUUGUAAUAAUAAUAAUAUAAUAAUAAUAGCAAUAGCAAUAAUGAUAAUGAUAAAGAUGAUAAUAGUAAUAAUUCAUCAUUUGAUAUUAGAUUUGCUGGGGAUUGAGUUUCGCUGUUUUUUCAUGUACGAUAUUUUCAGUCUAAUAACAGGAGUUAAGAGUUUAAAAAGCUUAUGUGACCCGACACCCUCUUUUAUUUUUUGCCUUAUUGGUUUUCUUCAUAAUUUUAUCAUUCAAUAUUGGUGUUUUUAAUUAAAAAAAGAUCAUCUAGUUUUCCUUUUAUAUUAUUAAAUAAACCAAUUCACAUCAAGUUAACUAUUAUAUAGUUUGGGUGUUGGGCCUGACAUCUUAACAUACUCAUAAGUGCAUGGGUUUAGUGCUUACCCGAGUCCAAUAGGGUUAGGUUUAACACCUCACUAAAUCUCCGAGCACUUGGUUUUAACGCGUAGUCAAGCCUAAUAUAAUUGAGUCUAAUAUCUUAAUAGAUUCACUAGUGCUUGAAGUCAAUGCGCAACCGAGCUCUAUAGAGUAUUUGGAGGUCUAGGUUAAGGCCUUUCAAGAAAAAGAAAUUUGUGUAAAAUAUGUUGGUACAACAUAUAGUAAAAACAAAAAAGGAUAAUGUCAUCCUACUAGGAGCGAGUCAGAGUAAGGAUCAGUAUGAAAAUAGAAAAAUGAAGAUAUAAUUAAACUUAAAUAAAUAGGUAUAAAAUGAAAUAACCAUAUUUUGUAGGGGUUUAAAAUCAUAUUGGGGGAGGGGGGCUCCGCCUGCACAAAUAAUUAAAGUAAGAGCCUAAGUGGGUGAUAGAUGCCAUGAUCGUUGGAAUAAUAUUCUAUACAUUGAUAAUUGAUGGUUCAUUUAGGAAAGAUAUCAUCUAUCUUCGUUUGUAAGUAGCCUAUUUACCCGUGCAAUGUUUCGGUUCGUACAAAAAUCUAGCUAUUUCUUAAAAAAAAAAAAUCAGCUAGAAGAAAAUUUUGUAUUGUAAACAAAACAAUUAAUGUAUAUUUAAUUAAAUAAAUUGGUAACACUAGUAAAUAAAAUUCACAGGUUGGAUUAUAUAACUCUAGUUUGAUUUACAAACAAAUUUAGGUUGGCUUUUUUUUUUUAAGAGAAAAAUAAAAGUAUAUGACUCUCUUUGUCUAUUUGCUAGUUUUUGAAUAAUGAAGAGAUGGUAGAAAUUUUUUAAUCUAAAAAUUCAUUUUAAAAUAAAUUUCACCUAAAAAUACAUUAUAAAUAAUUCUAUAAUGUUAAUGAAUUAAUUUUUAAUUCAAAACACCUCUAAAUCAAUCUAAAAAUCAAAAUUAAACUAAAAACAAAAUUCUUUUUCAACCCAACCUACUUCUCCAGACCCCAUAAAAGCUUAAAAACACAAUAAGACAUGAUGACAACUAAUAUUUUUCCUUUUUCUUUACCGUUCAUCGAUGAGUUUCUCUCCUCACUCAAAUUCAUGUAUUGAAAAAAGUUCAAAAUAAAUUCUUGAACCAAAUCUAAGACUAAAAAAAGUUAAAGGGUCCAAUCCAAAAAAAUAAAGUAAAAUAGGUGGGCUGAAAAAAAGCUGCUUUUAAGACCGACGACGUGGUUUUCACAUGAUUUACGUUGUGGGUGCAGGGCUCCGUCCUGCUUUAUAUUAAAAGCAUAUAUAAUUUUAAUCAAUAAUAAUGGUGCGGUCGAGUCAGGGUUCAAUUACCAUAUAAAAUACACAGCUGGAAAUCACUUUACACUAUUCUAACUCUAUCGCCAAAGCAUCUCACAUACUUUUGCAUCAACUUGGCAUUAAAAUAUUCUUAAUAUUAACAGCUGACUAAGGAUCAGCUGAGGUGCAUGUUUCACUUUUACCUGCUGCUGUAUUAAUGGUAGAAAUUAUCUCAUGAUGUUCUUGGUCUGCAAAUCACUGUCUUUUACACGACAACCGCAGAGGUAUUUGUCGUCACUGAGGGUAUAAAUAUCAUUUUAUAUAUCAAUCUUAAUUAAAAAAACACACACAGUAACAAUUAAAGAAUCUAUGGUUAUAUCAGCACAAAUAUCAAGGUAAGCUUUCUCUCCCUAGCCAUUCCUCCAUGCCAAACGUUCUUGAAACUGGACGAUGGUGUCAUGUUUACGAGGGACAGAUGAAAAGCUAUAGAAAGCGCUUUGUUCUUCUCACUUUAUGUAUUUUUUGCAAGCGACAUCUGAAUCUGUAUCUGCCUAAAACCGAAACAUUUUCAUCUCUUCAACUUUCAAUCUUAAUUCUUCUUCGGAGGGUGUCUUGCCACCAUCCUUCAAGGUUGCACACCACCAUGCCAUUAGCUCACCCUGCAGAAUACAGGAGUCAGGCUUAACCGCCACUUUCAAGAGUAAAAAAAUGAGAGCAACAUAUGAGUAGGAUCACUUUCUUUCUCAGGUACAAGGAUAACUCAAAUUGUCUUCAUGAAGAGACUCCACCAAGCAAAUGCAGAUUCAGUCAUAUAAAUCAUCAAUGAAGGAGACUUCAAUGCAACAUGAAUCAAGAUUUGGUGUGUAAAAUAGGCAAUAUAGAAGAAAGAUCAUAAGACCAUAUUCUGAUGAGUCGUGAUCCUUGAAUGAGAAAAGGGCUACUUGACCGAGGCCAACUAAUCGUGCAUUCAAAACAUACAAACAUGAUUCAACAAGGGAAAAAAGGCUGUAAAUAGCCAGAUUAAUUAUAUGCAGUCCAUGAAUAAAGAUAUCAAGCUCGCAGAUUCAGCUGGAAAUCUAUAGAUCAAAGAUUGAAAUUUAAAUUGCUAGAUUAUAUAAAACAUGAAUUCGUUUUCAGAGUCGGGCUUUUACCUCGGUGAAAUCGUGGUUGGAGAUAUAUUGACUCUUAACUAAACAUUUGACGCCACCUACAAUUACAGCAAUAGAAUUUUUGAACUUUUGUUUUGAACUCUGACUUUGAACUCCUGUAUGAUCAAAAGAAAGAACAGGGGAAAAAGGGGAGGGGGUGAGUCGUCAACAGAAACGGAAGCUAAUUAAUGACAACUAUGCAACUCGUCCAUCUAUCAUAGAUAGGAGACAGGGUAAACAAUUUUGGCUUACCAGUAAUGCAGGCUACAUAAUACCCAGUUCCACCCAAUCCCUGUUCCCACUUCCCAAGCCGCAAGCGCAGGAAAAAGCCAUCAAGAUGUGAUGGUGGUGUAUGCGAAUUCAUCCAUCUGGUGCCAAUGCAUGCAACAUAGAAAAUAUCAAUAAAAGGAUAAAAACUUUUACGACAAUAAUUUCUAGAAAAGAAAAAUUCAAGCUUUGAUGAAUGUUACAGAUAAAACCAAGGUUAUUCCUUGAAAGUAGUUUUGAGUUUUAGUUCAUAUUGGUGUUGAUAAGCAGGACUAUCAAGGCAGAAAAUCAUAAAUGAGAAAGCAGGACUAGAUUUAUAAUUAUCUUGUAAUUGAGUUUUUCUAGAAUGACCAGCGAUUGCCUUCAAUUGCAGUGUAGCUGAUGUAAUAGUGCAGUUAUCAUAAAAAAGCCACAAACACAUUAUCACAUAUUUGAUCCUCUUUGUUCAAAUUUUGCAUGGAGGUAUGCCAACAGAAGAUGAAAAAAGAGCAACUAAAAUUUACCCCCCAUUGAUAUUGACCAUGAAGUACAUUAAUUAGAGCCCUAAGAUAGGUAUGCAGAGAGCUAUCCGAGCAAUUCAAACUAUGAAAAACAGUACUGUGGUAGAAUAACUGACGAUUUAUGCAGGCUGGUACUCUCAUUCUAUGUCCUGCAAUCCUUCCUUUUCUUCUGACACUCUCUCUUCUUCAGCCACAAUCAUUUCUAUUUUUUCUUCCUUAUGCUUCACCAAUGCAAUAUCUAAUACAUUUAAGUUAUUGGUUCUGAUCCUGGACCUUCUUGCAUAAGUUGUAAAAUACAUUAUCACAUAUUUGAUCCUCUUUGUUCAAAUUUUGCAUGGAGGUAUGCCAACAGAAGAUGAAAAAAGAGCAACUAAAAUUUAUCCCCCAUUGAUAUUGACCAUGAAGUACAUUAAUUAGAGCCAUAAGAUAGGUAUGCAGAGAGCUAUCCGAGCAAUUCAAACUAUGAAAAACAGUACUGUGGUAGAAUAACUGACGAUUUAUGCAGGCUGGUACUCUCAUUCUAUGUCCUGCAAUCCUUCCUUUUCUUCUGACACUCUCUCUUCUUCAGCCACAAUCAUUUCUAUUUUUUCUUCCUCAUGCUUCACCAAUGCAAUAUCUAAUACAUUUAAGUUAUUGGUUCUGAUCCUGGACCUUCUUGCAUAAGUUGUAAAAUAUGUCACCUCAUUAUACUUCUAUCAUAGGAUUCUCAAAGUCACUAUCCUGAGCUCCUCACCACAUGUUUCCUUGGAAUUAAUUUUCCUAGAAGGUCACUCAGAUUUCACUUCAAGUUCAAAAAAUUUCAAAGUUAUGGAGAAGAAAAAAGGUCAUCCUUCAGUGGUCCUGAACACUACAGACAGAUUACAAUUUGAUCUGCAUCAGAAGGUAACACGGUUAUCCAAAUGCCAUCUUCUUGCCACAAGGCCAGACUCUCUACCAUAAAACCAUGUUGCAGAAACAAGCUUGUAAGAUAUGUAAAAGAAAAAUCGAAAUGCCAAAAUCACGAGCCAAAGUAAUAUGAGGAUAAAGUAACAGAAGAUGAUUUGAUAGAAUAAGCAUGGACAGACCAAUAUUAAGCCAGAUGUUCAAGCCAAUGCAUUUCAAAAUUAGCAGCUCACGAAUUUUCUGGUUCAAAUCUGUCAUCCUCGGUUCAUAUUUAGUAAAAUGAGGCUUUAAUGUCCUUACCAGAAAUUUAUUAGAUUUUCUAUGCAAUCAAACAAAUUCCCACCUUGGACUUGGUUUAUCUAGUUAAGAAAAUAAAUCAGAUGAUGGAAACUGGAAGCAUGUCUUCCCAACUCACAGUAAACAAGAUGCCCUGAUGAACAAACACUGCCUAUUACAGGUAUAAACAAGCCACACUUCAGAUUAAACUAAACAAAAGCUCAACCAUAUGGUUGAAAACAACCUGCAAUUUAUCUGUCUGUAUAUGAUGUCUCAAACAAUUAGAGGGGUGCAGAUAUCCGAGUGCUAAAUUGCAUGGCAGUUUAUAGGAAAGAUCUCCAAAAAAAAAAAAAAAACAGUGAAGAUGACAGUUUAGUUGGAAUGAUCUACUUACUUGAGAAUAAUUGUUCGAGAUAAACGAAGCCUUUUUACUGCAUCAAAAAUUCCCUUUGGUACGUCCGAUAUCUGGCUAUUGAUAAAAUUGCUCAAAGGCAUGACCUGGUUUUCUUUCAACUUCUUUUCCCCAGAACUUGAAGCAGUGUCUCUCUCAAGCAGUUUCAUAUUCAUAUUCAUUUUCCCAGAGGCAGAAGCUUCAUGCAAUUUCCCAUUGCGAACUGAAGGUGCAUCAGCAGCUUGCAAUUGACUAUCCUUGCCAUCUGACCGCUUUGCAUCGUCUUCAUUUCUUGGAUUGAGCAGAAUUUUACAAGGGCUGGAUUCAUGGACCGGAGAAGCGCCAUAUUCUGCUUGAUGUCUUGUUCUUGAA
Molecule: long non-coding RNA, 44185 nt
Filed under: Populus tremula
Lineage: Eukaryota; Viridiplantae; Streptophyta; Magnoliopsida; Malpighiales; Salicaceae
Description: long non-coding RNA (PTRE_LNC002813)
Source: RNAcentral